This 55659-nucleotide long non-coding RNA is filed under the name Phoenix dactylifera (date palm). RNAcentral's name for it is "long non-coding RNA (PDAC_LNC000156)". The record is from RNAcentral. Lineage: Eukaryota; Viridiplantae; Streptophyta; Magnoliopsida; Arecales; Arecaceae.
UCCUCAAGAUAGCAACAUAGCUGCUAAUGGAAAACAUAAGAAUUAUAUAACCAUAAUAUAAUGCCAAUGCACAUUAAAUGACAAGCCUUCGUCCAAAUAAUUGAAGCCUUUUUUUGUUACUAUCCAUACAAAUCAAAUGGACGUCUUCAAUCAAAAGACGACUUACUCUAAAUUGUUCCUCAAAUUACUUUCUAAAUUAUUCAUCUAUUCACUCUCUCUUCUAUUAAACAAGAUGAAGUAUAGGGAGAAGAAAACAAGAAUAUGGCGCUUUUUUUUUUUGAGGGAAAAGAUGGUAAUCUCAUCAAAUUCAUUAAAAGAACAAACCAAAACCGAGUACAAAGUGAUGUAAGAUCACUUAGGUAGAGGAAAAAAAGAGUUAGAAAGUAAGUGAACUGGGACAAUGAAGGAAAAAGAUGAAAGGCUAGCACACCAUGCCUUGCAGUUUCUGAAUUGCUUUGUCUCUAGCUCCCGGUUUCGACACAGACAUCCAGUCUGAAGCAUGAGAUCAUGAUGCCUUCCUAACAUCCUCUACCAGCCUCCUUUUGGCUGUGAAAACUCUGAAAUUCCAUUACAUCCAGAUACUUCACUAUAGCAUAGCCAAGGGUGUCCAAAUGCAGUCUCCUUGUCUCAUAUUCUGCACUCGCCAAUCCGACACCAUGUCUUCAAAUUUCUGAAUUACUUGUCUCUAGCUGCCGGUUUCGACACAGACAUCCAGGCUGAAGCAUGUGAUUGUGACACCUUCCUAACAUCCUCUACCAGCCUCCUCUUAAAUGCAACAACUCUGAAAUUUCAUUCCAGCCAGAUGCUUCAUCAGCGUAGCCAACAGUGUCCAAAUGCAGUCUCCUCGUCAAAUAUUCUGCACUCGCCAAUCCAACCAAGGAGUAGAUAGACUGAGAACUCUGCUCCUUACUUACAGUUUUGGUGUAUCCCUUAGCCAGAUUUUGGCAUGACCCUCGGUUUCAUAUACCUCCCAAAUACUGCAUUCUUAGCACUCAAAUUUGGGCUCAAACUUCAUUCCAGCCCUAAUAAUCCAACAUAGUGCUAAACAAUUUACUCUUUUUUAAUUCUUGUACAAUACUUGUCUAACUGGAGGCACCUUUUCAAAUUAUUCCAGCAAUUUUCUCUUGUUUUAACACUUUAGCAUUAGGAGAAUAAUUUCUAAUCUGCGUAUCCAGAACUAUCAGGUAAGCUUUUUUUUAUAUAUAAAUUUUGUUAAAAAGAUAAAGCAUCAUCUGUGAACAACACACAACGCAGGAGCUACUGGUUUAUUAAACUAGUAAAAAUAUUAAGGGCUGAAAAUCAAUUGUUGCUCUAAGCCCAAUUGAACUAGACGCAUACUAGUCUAGCUGCAAGUGGUAUUUACACUUUGGAGUUUCCCAAAAAUGAUUGUAAAGCUAUCGGUGUAGCAAUUGCUACGAUGUCUCUAGCUCUCAAAUAGCACCAAAUCAUCUUGUGGUAGUUUAAAAAAAUGGUUCUCCAUGUCAGCAGAAACAAGCUUAGACUUUUUUUACUUCAAUCCAUAUGUUCCCAUUGAUUUCCAAAAAUACCCACAUGUGACGCUAAGAUAAGAUGCUUGAAUGUGCAUCUAGGAAUGAAAGUUCAUUAGAGAACUACAUAAAUGGAAACUUAGAGAUGCACAUGGCCAUGAGACUGUUGCCCAAAUAUAUCUAACAUUGCACCCUACUAGCAGGACAAAACCAUUCAAGUUUUUACUAAUGAUUCAUAUAUCUCUUUCUAACCACACUUUAUAAACUCAAAUAACCAAUGGAUUAAUAUGACAUUCCAAGCUCAAUGCAUGAGGCUCCCACCAAUGCAAAGCUUGGGAAGGUAAUAUGUACGCAGCCUUACCCUUGCAUUCGCAGAGGUUGUUUUCGUGUUUCAAACCUGUGACCUCGAAGUCACAAUGCAGCAACUUUGCCGCUGCAUCAAGACUCAUACUCAUCGAUAUGACAUGCCAGAAUAGUACAUUAUUCAUGUUGAAUACAAAGAUUGCAUCAGUUGCAAAUAGAUGCCUAUGCAUUCUCACUAUACGAUUUCUUAGAAGAACUAGUGAUAUAGUUAACUAAAAGAGACCACCAAACUUUAGCUCUGACUGUACCAUCUCUUGCCAGUUGGGCAAGAGGUCAAGGGUUCAUUUCCGGUUGAAGUUACCCUCAAGGGGUGGGCUAUGAAUAAAGGUAGAAAGGUGGGGCUUAAGCUCCUCCUAAUCUCAAGAAAAAAAAUAAACAUGGCAUGACAUUAUUAACUUUAUGAGAGGUAAAAAAGAUACAAGUAUGAAUUCUAAUCCUACUUUUGCUUUAACUAAAUAUAUGUAGGUUCAUCGUCAUGUUGAGAGUAUUAUAUAUAUAUUUUUUUUGCAUCUAGAUAGCUGUCUAUGAUAAUGAAGGCCCCCGAUGCUAAAGGCAAUGCUGAUUGUAAUCUGAAAUAUCAUCCGCAGCUAACUCAUCAAUUUUAGAUUUUGAGGAACAAAUCUCAGAAUGAGCAUGACUUUCACAGAUAUUAGCUACAAAAUAUAGCAUCAUUAGAGUGAUUUUUGUGCAUAAAGCAACCAAGCUUACAGGAUCCUUUAAGGAUGGCAGCCAUGUUGCGAGCUGCGCCUCUUACAACCAGACGGAAGUCCCUUUUCAGGCCCACAUGUUUGGCAUAUUUCUGCAGAAGAAAUGCAAAUGCAAGAUCAGGUGAUAGCAAUAUGAUGUAGAUUCAAAUCCAUCAGCUGGACCAGCAGUAACGUGAGUAUGUUAUGAACAUUCUCAAGUGUACUCCAAGGCAGGAAUUUUGGCCCAGAUGUGAACCUGGUACAUAGGCCCUUCAUCAUGGCUGGAAAUCAAGCCCAGCCAUUUGAUAGUGUUUUUGAAUCUUUCAAAGUGUUCAGAUAAUAUUUAAAGUGAAAGGUUAGCUGUUGAAUCAUUAAAUACAAGGAUUCUAAUUGUUUAGAGGUGGCUAAAUGUAGGUUUUAUCAAGAAAAUGAGCCAUCAGUUAAUUAUGAUUUAGUUUUGGAACAUCAAAUGAAAAGUUCGUAAGCUACUCUGUCUUCUUAUAUGGGCAUAAUUAGAAUGAUGAAUUUUAUGAUUGAUUUGGCAAAUUUCUAAUCUAAGCUUUGUACAUUUUGCUUGGUCAUUCCAAAUUUCUUCAUCUUGCUUCUCUUAAUUUUUUUCUUGUUGCUAGUUUAGAAUCUUAAUUUCUGCAAAUUUCUAACACAGGAUACAUCAAUACACGAGCAUCUCAUCAAUUUACCAAUCAAAAAUCAUGCUUCCAUGUAAAGAUAAUAACUAAACCAACCACUGAUUCAUGAAUAACAUUAAGCGAUAACAGGGAGUUUGCAGUCCACUGACAACAAACCAUGAUAAAAAUGAAUGAGCCAAAAAAUACAUAGAAGGUUUAAAGAAACCACUACAUUUUCAAAACUCAUUUUCAUAACAAGUCAUUUUACUAGGGUCGAACUAACUUAUUAGAGUAGAAUUCAAAAGGAAGCCCUCAAACCACAUAGAUAAUUCAAGAAUGAUUGGUAAAUAUAAGUGACUUUUCUUGAAAACACCAGGACUAGUACACUACAGCAUAGAAGCCAGUCCAUCAGUACAUCCAAAAUUUGAGUGCAUUCAUCACUAAUAUAUCCUGAAAGAAUAAUGAUGAUUUAAGCGAACUAUCAUGGAGGCUUUCACCAUGCCUGGGUUUCAAGCAUCCCUUUUCUUUUUUCCUUUUUCAUGUACUAGUGGACAAUGCAGGAAAAAAUGAAAAAGUAACACAAAAGACAAAGGCAGAUGGAAAUCAUGUGUGAGAGAAGUUAUGAUAAUUUUAGAUCUUUACUUUUCUUUUAAAAAAAAUAUAGAAUACAAAAUCAAAGAAAUAUAGAAAUUAGGUGAUGAGAUCAAAUAGAAAAACAGCAAUGCAUGUAGCAGUUACCUCAUUAACAGGAGCCUCAUUGUCCCGAAAGACAGCAUCAUGCUUAUCAAUUUCUUGCCCAAAUUCUGUCUUCAAGAGAUCUCCCGAGUUCCCAACAACCGCACAUGUUCUAAACUGAUAUGGAUGAAAAGGAGGCUUAGCUGGUAAAAUCAAAUUAAGAUGCUCCUCACAAAGAGAACGGUUGUAGCAUUUAUCUGCACCCCUGCAGCCCCAAAAAUGAAAACGUGCCUAUUUCAGCUGUUCCUGACUAAGUACCAGCAACUAUGAAAUCAAACAAACAAAUUGGAUAUGUUAGGCAUCUUACAGCUGUGCAAUCCUUUUUGCAGCAUACUCUAGCCAUCCACCUGGUCGCACAUCUAGGUAUUCCCUUGUCAAGACCGUAGUCAUGUUACGGUACUGGCAUUCUUUAUGGCUUCAGUACAUGAUAUUUUUCAAAAAAUGAAUCAGUAUUAUAAUAUAUUGAAACUAACCUGCUCCCAUAGAAGGAUAGCUUCACAGAGAUCAUAUUUGUACUCCAGUGGCUCGAAAAUUUUAAACUGUUUAUUGUACUGCGAAGGGGAAAACGAGAACUCAAUAAAAUCAAGACGGGAUACUUAAAGUGCAAUAUCUUUUUAUAUAAUGAGAAAUGGAAAGUUAAAGUGACAAUGCUGGAACAUAAGUUUAGAGUGAAGCUUGACCCAGGUACUGUUUGUGCCUUCAGGAAACUUAAGCACCAAUCUACAGUGGUCGAUAAUGUCUGCGGUAAGGCCAAGUCCUCGGCUUGCCUAAACCAAAUUUCAAGGUCACUUAAUUAAAGAAUAUUUGAAGAUCGAAAGUGCACUUAUAAAGAUAAUGAGAAAAACAAUAUGUAACAUACAAGAAUACAAGCAACCAAAUUAAUCCUUGUGAAUCAGCUGACAAUCUAAAAAUUACAAUGCAUGAAGAUGAUCAAAUAAUAAUAUGUUCUCCUUUUACUUCUUUUCUUGUAGCUUAAGAAUUUUGGAUACAUACGCAUGCAUCAGGCUCAUAGAUGAUCAUCAUGCAAAUGCAAGCUUUUUGACAGAAACAUCAAUUUGGUAAUGUUCCAAAAAAAAAAGAGAGUCCAUCAAAUUUGUAUUUUCAGGCCUUCUCACUCAUAAUCUCAUGAUCAUGUUUUACUUUGCUUUUUGAAUGAGUAACUAGAAAAGCAGUUAAUUAGGAUACUAAGUUGCUGACAUAAUGUAAUGAUAACUCUGUUGCAUACUAAGGAGCUAGGUGCCAUGCUAUUUCUUUUCUAAGUAUAUCAUUCACGUGUUUCAUAGAACUUUCAUGACAAGGACGUUUUGCUGCAAAUGAAAAUAAUGUCAAAUGCAAGCAGUACAUUCUGGCAGUAGAAUCAACUUCAUUUUUCUUUAGCAUAUUUUCUUACUGCAGCUACGCACAGUUAAAAUCUGAUUGUGGUGAUGCAACUUGGUGAGCCAAAGUCCUUAUCCAAGGUUAGUGCACAUAGCCCUAGGCUAGUGGUAGUGGGUAGCUGAUGCAUUUUGAAAAAGGAGGAGAAAAAGAGUGAACACUUUGAGAAAAGUAUGUUAUGAUCUUAGAUACAAAAAAAUUCUACUGCUAGUAGACCCUCAAAAGAGCCUUCCAAUGAACUUGAAAUCACCUUAAUCAGCAUCUGGAUGCUAGAUUUUCAAUGCAGCAAUGUACAGGAAACAAUACUAAACAGGUACUACAGUCUGAACUAACAAACAAUCACAUAGGCAACAUUGAUAUGAGGUUUCAAGAGACAUAUUGAAGUUUCUUUAGGUACCAUUUUUAUCUAAGGUCAAAUAUGCUAGUUAUGCCUUCAAGCAGAGGCCUUACCUCUGAUGGUCAAGAUCUAUCAAAGGCUUCACUUUAUGUUCUCUUAGUUUCUUCAUUUAAGAUCUUAAGCACCACGAGCUAUGAUUUUAGAGAGUAGAGAGUUGAUUUCAAGUAUUAUGUUUAACAAAAGAAAGAGCUAAAGCUUGUGGUCAAGAAGUCCCACACAUUAUUUCUUAAGCUUCAAGGAACCCCUGCCUUCCUCUCCUUUCUUCUCUCCUUUUCAUCUUAUUUUCCUUUCUCAUAUUUGAAGUAUCAGCUUACACAAUUAGGUUUCAGGGUCUGAGGCACUCUAAAGUGCAAUGUAUGGCAGCUAAAUCAGUCAGCAGUCUUGGAGGAGUAUAUUAUUCUCUACAGGAGAUCACUGCUUACCCUUAAAAUAUUGAAGUAUAACCCCUAAAAACAAAAUUCUGCAUCCUACCAUGCACUUCACCUAGGGGAUUGACUAGCAGAGUGAUUUGAUCAUGCUACUUGCCUACCCAAUACAGUACAAACUGGAACUUAGAAUAUACAUAUGUGACACCCAUGUGGUUUAUUGGAAGAAACUAACUCGUUCCAUCUCACGUAUCACUGCAGCUGCCAUUUACCAGAAACAAUGGGAAUCUUCACUUACCUAUACCAAAUUAGCUAUUAAAGCUAAGCUCUUCUCUCUUUUUUUUUGAGUUAAAACCAGUGCUUCUUAACAUGCCAAAAAUAUAACCUUAAUUGGAAAAAAAAUGAAAAUGUAGAGGUCUUCCCAUGGAUCGCAUGUCCAAUUCUACAGCUCAUAAGCAACGAAAAACCAAAACCAUCAGAUCCUAACCUUGACUCAAUGCAUGGAACCGAUCUGAUUCCAAAUGCAAUAGCUUCUAACUAAUCAUAUUAAACCACUGCUGCUUUCCCCUCCCUUCCUUUUGCCAUUCUAAGGAUGAUUAAGACUACCAUAUUCUUCUAAAAAAUUAACACUAUUUCCAAUAAUUCAAAUUUCCAACUUAAUUGUGAAUACACUCAUAAAAUACGAAAAUCGAAUCCGGAAAAGCGUGAGUAGGCGAGAAAACCGAAAGAAAAUCGAAGUGGCGAAGAGAUAGAUAACGUACCACGCAUUGUUGAACACGGGACUGGAAAUCCGAGAGGAUCCGGAUCUCCUCACUGUUCGUCUCCAAUCUCCGGCUUCCUGCAACCAGAAGAAGAUCCAGAGGAGAUGGGAUCAGAUUUUUAGAUGAGAUGGAGGAGCGAGGGUUCCUUGGCUUCGAGGCUCACUGGUGAAGUAGGAGGACUGGAUGGAGACAAGGAAGAUGGAGAAGGCGAGGGCAGCCCCGAGGAGGAGGAGGACGGUAGGCCGGCGGCCGGCGGCGGCGGCGGCAGAGCUCUUCGGGCUCGGCAUCGCGAACAAGUCGGUCGGGAUCGGAAAUCACUCCAGCGUCCAACUGUUCUCUAGAGUCUAGCUGGAACUUGGAAGCGCUUCGUCCCCCGGGCGAUCCCGUAACUGGGGACUACGGAAUGGACGGUUAGGAUGAACCAAUAACUUCGGCACCAACAGAUUAGGAUUGAUCUUUGUUUACCGUUGGAUCGCAUUCUGCGUAGAUCUCAAAACAUUCCGAAUUUUGAAGCAGGACCGAUCAUAUAUCUGCCUGCAGCAAUUGGUUCAAAGCAAGGGAACCUAGCGGAAAGGGAGGAAUGGAUGUUUAGUUGGAAACUUGGUUACAUUUGAGAAAUAGUUACCUAAUUCACGAACCCUAUUUAUGAAUUGUUAAAAAUGAAUGUUUUCACUGUUAAAAAUGGCUUGGAAAAACCAUUGGAUUUGAUACUUGCAAUGAAUGAAUUAAUCUUUAGUAUAUUUAAGUUGCAUUGUUGCUGAUUGAGAUAAUCAUAAAUAAAAAGUAUGAUGAUGCAUAAAAUUAUAUGCAUAUGCAUACAUACUUAUAUAUAUAUUAGAAAAUAGCCUAUACAUACCUUGCUGAAUAGACUUAUCAGUGGAGCAUAUAUACUCACUCGUGAUCAUACAUACAUGUAUGUCAGCCUCUCUCCCUCUCUAUGCCAAAUAAGACACUUUCUCAGCCUCUGUCAUCAUCUAUGAGAUCACUCACCAUGGUUAAGAUUUGAUGAACCAAAGGCAUCACCCUCUGACAUUUUCUUUGCUGGAUUUUCUUAAUCCCCAUUUGGGACCAUGGCAAGUGAAAGAAAGAAGAAUUUUCAAAAUGAGAUGCACAAAAAUACAAAAAAAUCAAAUUUUCAAAAACUUAAAACCUAAAGAAAUUAGAGGCAGUGGGAGGAUGGGGUGGAAUAUCUUGUACACGAGCUUAUAAUCUUACCCAGGGGACAAGAAGGUAGUUGAGUGGAUCAUCUUGUACAUAAUCAUGGGUAUCCUAAAAAUGCUUGUUAACUAAUCGAUGCUAAUGGAGAUGAUAUCCUGAGACCUUGGAACUCUAUAUACCUUAAAAAGUACUAUGCAUAAUAAGCUAGAACCAAAUCGCCAACCUUCUCCUCUCACUGUGUAACCAGACUAGCAAGUUGAUCGAACCUUAAUCAAGAGAACAUAGCCCAAAGAGAACUAUGGGUAAACCUUAGAUCAAGCCUACGACCUGCACAAGCAUUUGCUUGAGAAGACUCAAGCAGAGUCAAGGUCAAGCUACGCUACCUCAUGACCUACCAAAAUAUUUCUAAAGCGGACAAAGAGAUGACUCCACCAAUAUCAGGAAAAAAAAACCUAAAUAAUAUUUUUCAACUUAUUUUGUGUGUUGUUACAAAUAGUAUUAAAGCGAAUCAACCCAUGACCUAUGUAGACUAGGAAAUACUAUAGCACAUGCCUAUUUGCAUUGACUAAAAGCUGAACGUGGUGUUUGUGAUUAGAAUUGUAUAAUUUUUAAGUAGAUUUAGAUCCUUAGCUUGUGAGGAUGUUGGAGAUUAAACAUAAAAAGUCUGUGAUGAUCCGUAUGGGCAUAUGUUUAGUCUUAUAUUGGUUAUAUAUUAGAUAAGUCUUGUGUAGUUAAUUAAUAGGACUGAAGAAUGCACAUAAAAAUUUUGGCUAGUCUUUUUGAGCAAGAUCUUGAGUUGUGCAUAUAACCUUCCCAUUGUGAAAGUUUUGAUCCUCAAGUUGGAUAUUUGAAGUCUGCUUAUCAACCUCCUGAGAUCUUUAUAAAUAGCCCUCCACCCCCUCUCUCAAAAUUUGGUUGGCACUUGCAGUCGCAUGCAUUCUGCUUCUUGAGUGAGAGGAUGCUUCAAGAGGGCAUUGCGAGAAGGUGCUGGAAUUGGAGGAGUUAUGCACUUUGGAGCAACUCAGAUUCCACCAGAUCCUACGUCCAGGCUACACACACUCUCUCUAUUCUUUUAUUGUCUUUUCAAUCUAUUUUCAUACGCAUCUUUCAUUGAAGCCUUUCAUGCAUGCACUAGAAUCGGAUAUUCGACCUACCUGUUAUUUUGUUAAAAGGUUUUUAGUUCCGGAGGUAGAUAAUGUUUCAUGCCCCAUUCCUCUUCCCACGUAUGCAUUGAUACAUGACGGUUAUUAUCUUACAUGCAUGCAUCGACUAUUUUACCGCAUCUUUCUAGUCUAACCCAAAUCACUUAUUUUUUCUCCGCAACCAUCCUCACACAGACUUUUUUUUUUUCUUCUUCUUUUUUUUUCUUUCUAAGGCAGGCAUGUCAAACUGCACGAGUUCGGACACACCCAACAAAGUUAGAAAAUAAAAUAUCAUGAGAUGUCCUAAGCAAAUCCUCAUUUCCGCAGUACUAUUAACCUCUCUAAAAACGUGCUUGGCUGGCCUCAAGAACCACUCUGUCUCCGCCCAUCAACCAAAUAUCAUGCAGCAAACAAAGAUUCUUAAGUUGGGCAUGCUCUAACCUAGUGAAAAAAACCCAUGACUAACCAAAAAAAGCAUCAAGGCGGCCAAUAGUCCGAUAGCGAUAGUGCAGUUCUAGUGGCCAAGUCAUUUCCUCCGCGGGACACCCAUUUCAUCCUUUUGAUCGUACAGUUCUUAGUCUAUCUUUGGAGCAUUUGUUCUUAUUUUAUCACAUCAUCAAAGCCACCAUGAUAAUGAUAAUGAUAAUGAGGAUGAGGAUGACAAUAAUAAUGAUAUAAAAUGAUGGUGAAAGAAGAAAUCGUGUGCCAAUGACUGCUUGCAAAUUGAGGACGCCCUCCAUCUGAAGGCUUUUUCUUUGUUUUUUUUUGUUCUUUUGGGUGAGAAUUCUUUGGCAUUGUAGCGCAAUUGGUCCGCGAGAAGGUGGUAUUUUCGUUCCAUGCUCUCGGCAAAAUCCAUCCAGCCAUUUAUUUCAACGCUGGCUUGCAGGUAAGCUAGCAUUGCAAAAGCCCCGCUCCGGCGGCGUCCGCGGGAAAGCCAUGAAAACAGUAAACUUGUGCCAAGCGUAUAGACAGUAUCCUCUUGUGUUGGGACAUUAAUUUAUACCCUAGAUACAAUUCAUAUGUACCUGAAAAGUUUUAAGACCUCAUCUCACUAUUAUUUCCUUUUGAAAAUUAAAUCUUAAAAUAAAUGAGCAAUUCUGCGGUGACUCAGAAUAUUCACUAAAAAAAAAGUCUGUCUAUAAAAUAAAAACUCUCCAUAGGAAUUAAUGGAAUCCCAAGCUACUUGCUUAAUGCUAUAAAAUUAAGCAGGACGAGCAGACGUACCAUUCCAUAAUUCUUUCCGUGCGUCGAAGCAAUGUUUUAUAUCCUUAUUUUGUAAGGAGCUCCAGUGCACGCCCAAACCGAUGCGCGUGACAUGGAAAAGGGGGCAAAGGAAGCCAAAAGGGAACAAGCAGUAUGAUGAUAUGAUAUAAUAUAAUAUUGCUGUCAGAGACAAAAGGUAACCAAACCACCAGCGUAUGAGCCCAUGGUCGUGACCUACGUUUCGUAGACGGCUCCUUCCAUGAUGGCCUCUUUCCUUCGUUGCGGGCUCGCCUUUUCUCUCUCCUUUUGCUAACAAAAGAAAAUUAGGGAGACAACUGUGGUAUAUUUGCCACACCGACACCUAAUCUCUACUUGCAUUGUCCCUCCCUUCCUUUCUCUCCAUCCUACCAUGUCCGUGUGCCACAGAGUCAAAUCCCUCCGGCUUCCAAAUCUCCAUCCUCAUCCGCUUUGGUCUCGUUCUCAUAUCCUCCAGCUGUUCACUUAAUUAAACUUGCGUUGGUAAAAUAAAUAAUAAUAAUAGUGAUAAUAAUAAAAAAUAAGUAAUAAAAAAAUUGAAAAAGAGUUGAGCAGGUAACAUUUUAAGGGCGGAUAAUAUUUUUUUGGAAGAAGACUUUGCCAUGAUGAUCGAGUAGAUUCGGUAUAUAGAGCAAUGGGGCGAUGCCGCCCACUCUGCUUAGAGAUAUCUAGAGGUUGGUGAAAGAUUAUUACUCCUUUUCGGCUGCUUAUGUGUACCGGAAGGCGAUUAAAUUGUUUUCUUUGCUGCUCAUUAUUUAGAAAAGUUUUUAUGAACAUGGUCUGAUAUCGCUCCCUCAUCUUUACGCCACUUAUUUCUCUAUACUUUUUGGACAAAAAAAAAAAUAUAAUAGUUUGGCUAGGAAGCCCUAGCCCAAAGGGAGCUAAGUCGGAAGUUAAUAACCGGGCCGGUGGGGUCAGCUAGCUUUUUGCCACCUUCAGGCCGAGCCCUGGCUCUACCGGGAUCCAGCUGGAACUCCGCCAUCUUUGCAGGAACUCCCAGGGUAGGAUCGUGAUAUGACCGCAGGGUCUUGCGCGCUCCCAGAAUUGCUGCCACUUGCCGCCAGUCCACAGUCCGGAGAUCCUGCAACCCGCCUACUAGACCCUAAAUGACCAUUUCACCCGCAUCACCGACCGGGCUCCACAGGAGAUACAAGGGCAAAAGGGUCAUUUGAAAAUCCAUGCGCUUCCAAUACCAACGGUCAAACUCAAAACACCGUCCCGCGUGUCGCGAGAGCGUCCGGGCGGAUGGUGGUCACCAGUCACCGCUCCUAUUUCCACCCACCGGCUCGUCCGAACGCCUCCAUAUUUCGCCACCUAUCCCUUAUGGACUCCGCCCAACCGACGUGUCCUGUUACACGGUGGUACCCGCUCCCUUCUCCGACCGCCAGCCUGUCCCUCAUCUCGCCAUGUGUCCUUACUUUUUCUCCUUGGUGUAACGGACCUGCGCCUUUAAAUCUAGUCGAGCUUCUCCCCAUCGGACAGCAAUCACGCACUGUCCAAGGCUUCCAACUCUCUUCUUCGAGUUCUUUCUCUGCCGCCGCCAUGGAUUCCGGCCAUUCGCCGCUCCUCCUCGCCGUACUCCUGACGAUCCUCGCCGGAAUAUCGUCGGCAUUGACGGAAAAUGCCGACGUCCGUCCCACAUUGGCGCCGCAGAUCAACUCCAACUCGGUCCUGGUCGCGCUGCUCGACUCCCGCUACACGGAGCUGGCGGAGCUCGUGGAGAAGGCCCUCCUCCUCCGCGCCCUGGAGGACGCCGUCGGCCGCCACAACCUCACCAUCUUCGCCCCCCGCAACGAGGCCCUCGACCCCGAGUUCAAGCGCUUCCUCCUGGAGCCUCGCAACCUCAACUCCCUCCAAACCCUCAUCCUCUACCACGUGAUCCCCUCCCGCGUCGUCGCCUCCGAGUCCUGGGCGGCCGUGCCCGUCGACCAGCGGACCCUCUCCGGGGACCGCCUCCGCCUCUCCGGCGACGGCACGGCCGAGAAGAGGGUCGACACCACCGUCGUGAUCCACCCGGACGCUGUGGUCCGCCCGGACGGCGUGAUCCACGGCAUCGAGCAGAUGCUGGUCCCCAGAUCCGUCCAGGAGGCGUACUUCAACCGCCGGCGGAGGCUGUCCUCCGUCGCCGCCGUGCUGCCCACCGGCGCGCCCAAGGUGGACCCCCGGAGAACCGGUAACCGCCUCCUCCCCUCGAAACCGGUCUCCCCGGCCGGCGGGCCGACGACGUCCCCGGACCCCGCCGUGGCGUCUCCGGCGUCGGAUCCGGCGCCGGCGCCGGGGUCCGCUGUCCAGGUGUUCGACGGGGAGAGCGAGGUGAGGGACUUCAUCCACAGCCUGAUCCAGUACGGCGGGUACGGCGAACUGGCGGACGUGCUGGUGAAUCUGACGUCGCUGGCGACGGAGAUGGGGCGGCUGGUCUCGGAGGGCUACGUGCUGACGGUGCUGGCGCCCAACGACGAGGCGAUGGGGAAGCUGACGAUGGAGCAGCUGAGCGAGCCGGGAGCGCCGGAGCGGAUGGUGUACUACCACCUGAUUCCCGAGUACCAGACGGAGGAGAGCAUGUACAACGCGGUGCGGCGUUUCGGGAAGGUCCGGUACGAUACGCUACGGGUGCCGCACAAGGUGGUCGCCAGGGAGGCCGACGGCUCGGUCAAGUUCGGCCAUGGGGAGGCCUCCGCCUACCUCUUCGACCCGGACAUCUACACCGACGGCAGGAUCUCCGUGCAGGGCAUCGACUCCGUGCUCUUCCCGCCGGAGGAGGACUCCGUGGCCCCGGCGCCCGCGCCCGCCGCCACAGUUGCCGCUGCCAAGCCAAGGCGAGGUUCGUUUUUUCUUUUCUUUUCUUUCCUUCCCUUCUAUUUUCUAGGAAAAUAUCUGAAAAAAAAAUUGCCCUUGUCGGUCCUCAUGUUCUUAAGGAAAAUUCUUUUAAACGAAAUUUCCCAGGAAUUCCCCAUUUUUUUUUUUUGUCUUUGUUUGGAAAUGUUGGGGACAAUGGGAUUGCUAGAUUUGCUUGGAAGGUGGUCCAGAGGAGUUAUAAAUAAAUAAAUAAAUAGAAGGGUGAUAGGGGAGAAGAAGACAUAUAUAACGUCUCUCGUAUCUGGNNNNNNNNNNNNNNNNNNNNNNNNNNNNNNNNNNNNNNNNNNNNNNNNNNNNNNNNNNNNNNNNNNNNNNNNNNNNNNNNNNNNNNUUCUUUUGCAACCUUUUCAAAAUUUUUGUCAUCGGAUUCCUUGCAAACCAAGUCAUAAAGCAGUCGCAUGCACGUACCAUCAAAACUCAGUACAUGUGUGGCUUCUGUAGCAACGACAUAUAAUAAUGUGAAUCAUAUUAAGGUGUUAAAAAAAUUGUUCUUGUUAGUGAUGAUAGUAUGCUUAUAUUUGGUUGCAGGAAAGUUGCUUGAAGUGGGGUGCCAGAUGCUGGGUGCCUUGGGACAGCGGGCUCGUUUCAUCACCUGCCAGUAGUCGACACGGCCAACUAGGAAAACAGCAUAGACAGAAGAAUAAAAGGUGACGCAUAUAUAUGAAUACUACUGAUAGUUGUGUUCUUUGCUGUGCAUGAAGCAAUGGAUACUGAUAAGCGAAAUGUGUGACAAACAGGUGCAGCCUGAGGUAGUCGAGCAGGGUCAUGUAUAAAAUUUAUCAGACAGCUUAUCGCAUUGGAGGAUAUAUAGUUGGGUUUCUCAUAUAACAUAUAUUUUUUUAUUUGAUUUCCUUUUUGUUGUUCUUGUUCUAUGGUGCAGCUUGCUGCUGGUGUUUCCAUAUGUUCAAUUUUCCUCACUUGUUACCGGUGAUUGGUUAUAUCGUACCACUCGCAUGUGAAUAUCAAUAAAGAGGAAAUAGGAUGAGCAGCAUAUCUUUGGUUCACUUUUGUCUACAGAAUAAAUAAAUCAACAUGAGAUGUCUUUUAUUUUAUUUUCCUUCUUGUUUCUUGAUUUUUCUUUUGUGAGCUAUAUCUUGUGUUGGAUAUAUAUAAGUCAUCGCUAGCUGUUUGCAACGUAUGAGCACUAUUACCAGCAUUAUCAUCAAGGUUCUCUACAGAUGGUAUUGGAGAGCUUAAUCCUAUGGCAUUGGCAGCACUGUUUCUUCAGUUGUUUUGGUAAUGGCUUCUACCGGGGUCUUUUAUUAUCUCCUCUACGUGGAGUCCGAGUGUGUGCAGCUUUGUUUGCACUCUGCUAAUAAAUAGUAUUUGAGGCUUGCCUCUUUUAACCCCCCCAAAAAAAACAUGAAAAUAAAAAUUAGAUAGAGGACAAGUAGAGAUUACUGAUUGAAGCAAAAACUUGCGCAAGCCAUCUAUCAUAGUCCAACAUCAACUAAUUAAGAAGAUGCUACAUGGGUAUAUAAACCUAGGCCCGUCCAUCCAAUGGCUCAAGCUUUUGCGGUGGGAGUUCAUUGGGCAGUAUCAGAGCCAGGCUCAAUGUACGUCACAGUCUUAUUAUUAGUCAUGUGAGCUUCUCAUUACAGGAUAUUAGGGUCAAGUUGGACCCGAACUAUUAGUGUGCCCCUCUUUCGAGAGCCAAUCCAUGAUGAGGGCUCACAAGGAUGGGUAGGGGAGACUCUUAUAGUUUCACAUCGGCUAGUAAAAGUCUAUGAGGAAGAAAAAAGGAGAGAUUGCAGUUCAUUGUCAGAUGGUCUGCCGUUUUCUUGGUUUUGGCACAAAGCGGGCAUGCAUUGAGGCCGCAAAUUGUAAGAACUUAGGACUUUUCCAAAGAUGGCUAGCCGAAAGGUAUUAUUUGGAUUCCUUGAUCCUGUAUAAGUGCUCAAGGGUCCUCACACAAAUCUCCAAGGUGCUCUUUCACUGUCACUGAUCUCUUGGUCAUCCAGGAUCCAACGACCUUAGCCUUAUGGCCUAAAGUGACAGCGACAUGGUCGACCUUUAUUGGUUGACCAUAGGCUUCCGCAAAAACGGCGCGGUCCAGAUAGAUUAAUAUUUCCGCCAACUCCAAGGUGAAAGGCAUGCACAAAGGCUUUGCAGCGAGCUCCUAACAAUUAGCUCCAAACCAUUGUGGCAACUGUGGUAGUUGAUGAGAGGGGUUGUUUCUGUCUGUGCUGAAGGGAUGGUUGGUAUGGCUUGGGUUGCUGCAGGGAGUUGGUACCCAUACCUUUGGCCUUUAAUAGGGUUCUAAGAGCGAGUGUUUAGUCAAGUCUCCGCAUCCUCAUGUCGUCCUUUGAGUACUUCAGCAUUGGUGUGACCGAUACUUCAAAAAUGGUAUGGAGUAGAAUAUAAUGGUAAGGAUGUCCGCCCACUAUAGUUGAUUUUACCCAGCAUGGUUGUUUCGUCUUGCCAUUGAUGCUUCAAACGAGGUUGUCGAAGAGGUGACUCGUGUCCGCUAGUUGUAAGAAGCAUGGCCGGAGAUCUUCGACUGCGUGCAUGGUAGGCUGUAGGUAGGUGGGUGGCAUUAAUAUCAAGCCAUUCUGCCAUCUUUUUUCCAUAGGAACUUGUGCUGGAUGCUUGUUGAUGAGACCCCUCUUCGGACAACCAAGAGGAAUCGAUCGAGUUUGCCUUGAGUAGCAACUGGGUGGCCAUGUUGCUUCUCCCAAUUGAUUGCUUUGCUCUACCUCCUGCUUUUCCUGUCUCCCAUCUCGUUCUCCAUUUUCCUCCCUUGUUUUGUCCUUGCCAUGGGGUUUUUUCCCACUUUUCUUCUUUACCUUGUUGCUCUCUAGGAGUGACCAAGAUGAGAGAGGUAUCUUUCUCUAGUUUCUCUGGAGCUUCUCUCUUUAAGUUCUUUCAUCUCUCUCCCGAGACUUGUCAUUCUUCUGAUUGGCUCUUUUUUCAUUGAAGGUUAGUUUUCAUAUGGAUGGAUCGAUUUGCAUUAGAAUUUGUUAAAAGCAAGUUUAAAGGUGAAGCAAAAAAUUUGGUGGAGAAUAGUUGAAUACUACAGCAAGGCUCUUUUUUCGUUGAAGAUUACUUUUCGUACGGAUGGAUCAAUUUGCAUAGAAUUUGUCAAAAGAAAGUUUACAGGUGAAGCAAAGAAAUUUGGUGGAGAAUAGUUGAAUACUACAAUCAGCGCUGUAAUGUAACCAGUAGAACAUUAGAUUUGAUGAGAAGUAAAAUAAUGCCCUCUAGGAAGUCAAACUAUCCAAACUUACAAUAGGCUCCUUGUAAGGAAAGAGAAAAUCAUCUGUAGGAGUGCUAUCCAUAAGCCAAUCUUUAAAGAAGAGAGGUACCACAAGCAAGCCACUUCUACUCUUACUAAACCAAUAGUUCGUGAUUCUAAAACUUUCAAAGGUCAGAGGUGCAAGGCCGAAGACCCUUAAAAAGUUGGUAGAGGCCAUCAAUUGUCCCAUCUUGAGGUUUAUUUUCUGUUUCUGAUUCAAGUUUCUACUAUACUCUUUGAUCUCAUGCGGGCAUGCCUGAUUUGCAUACAUCACAGUCCCAUGCUACAUCUUGGAGACCUAGAUAUUAUGGAGGAGAAGGCCCAUUGUAUAAUCCCUACUACUAGUGAGGAGCCAAAGGAGCAAUCUCUUUCCGCCAUGUAAUUAUGCAGAGGGGUUAAGGAAGUUGAGGUGGCAUACUAGUGAGGAGCCAAAGGAGAAGCCCACGAAGGAGGUCCCUCCACCCGAAAUUGCAAGUCUUCGAGCGGUUCAAGGAUAUUCUCGGAACUUUUAGAUGCUGGUUCAUUCGGCUAUCAAAAGCACCACAUGGAGCCUCACUCUUUUCCUAGAAAAAGAGUGAUGGGAGCCUCCACUUAUACAUUGAAUAUAGAGCACUUAACAAGGUGACCAUCAAAACAAGCAUCCAAUUCCACUAGGGAAAGAUCUCUUUGAUCGGUUUGGCGAGGCUCAAUUCUUCAGCAAGCUUGAGCUGCCAUGAGGAUACCAUCAAGUACGGAUCGACCAAACAGGAUCUUAGUUCUUGAUUAUGCUACUUGGCUUGAAAAAUGCUCCAACAUUCUACACCUGCAUGAAUAAGUUCUUCUACCCUACCUCAACAGGUUUGUAUGCCUUGACGACAUAGUGAUUUAUAGCCAUGCCGUGGAAGAGAUGCUGUGGCAAUAUACGAACAAGAUCAACAAGUUCCUUAAUGAUGCAAAGAGGACAUCGGUGCCAUAAGUGGGGAACAGCUCCUCCCACAAUAAGACUGCAGGAAAUUCACUCAAACUCUUAAUGGACUACAGAAGCUUGCAAGUCUUGUGGCGCUAUAGAUAUUUCAACUACUUUCUAGAAGAUAUUUCUAAUGCUCAUAAGUAUCUUGUUUCCGGAACGUACUCACUUCACCCCGCCACUUACCGAUCAAGACUCAUGGCUGAAAGAAGAGAGAGCUGUGUUUGGAAGAGUUGUUCACAUUUGGGAAAUGGGAGCAGCUGCAGCCGUGGGUUCGUCGAGGAUGGUCCAUCCAUUCCUCCAUGAUCUUGAGACCCCUGGACUCCCACGUCCCACUCCUGACUGCAAAAUAUAAUCUCCAUCUCAAUAUCCUGUUGCAGUUUUUCGAAACAAACUACAAGGGGACAGCCCUUGGCAGACCAAAACACUUAGUAGAAAUCUUCUUGCCUCUGUUAAAAAAGUAAACAUUCGACAGCAACUCCAAAACAAAAACCUACCUUACAAGAAAAAGGAAAAACAAAUUGAUACAUGGGCAAGUAAUCCAUUUUACGAGAAAACAUUAAUCACUUUAAUUUGGAAAGAGGCCAAAUGAGAAAUUGCUAAAUGACAUGAUGCAAAUAUAACGCACAUCAAAACAUAGAACUUGAAGGUUGUGGACAACAUAUAAUCCAUAACAGCUAUACAUCCAAAACCCGAGGCUCGGCAGAUGCCUUACCAAAAUGAUGUUAAAUAAUUUAUGCUCUGGCUAAGCGGCCCUCUUUCUCUUUCCACCACCUGAACCUCGGGGGCCCUUCUCUGCGGACUCAGACCCCUUGGAUUUGCCUGCAGGGGUCUUCUUGGCACCUGACUUUGACUUCCCAUUACUUUUCAAAUCAAGCUCCACUUGAACUCCUAUCGACACAUGAAAUGAACAUCAACCAAAAGAAUUCAUAAAAGAUGUUUUCGAUUAUGUCGAGAAAAGGGUAAAUAUGCAACUUGAAACCUUUAGGUUUAUUGCUAAGGAGAUCCAGCUGUGGCUUGGCCCCGCCAUCAGCGUUAAUUCCAAGAUCAUCUGAAAAAAAAUCGAAGAAAGACAAGAUUCGAGUCUUAGAAUGGAAGUCCUAAACGCAAGUUAUUCAAGAAGAAAUAUCAAUUAUUGCUUGUAAGUAUUACUAACAUGAUGCUUGAAUAGUUCUCAGCAUUUCAAUUUAUAUUCGACCCGAAAACACAAGAAUUACAGAAAAACAAUAAUAUGCCGAAAGUCUAACUGGGUUGUGGGUGUCCCACUUGAAAGUGGAGGUGGGCACAUGCUUUUGAAAAUAGUAAACACAUGAGAGGGUACAAGUACACGAACAUACUAAAAGCCUGUGUCCACAUCCGUCAAUACAAGGUCAAGCCAUGUUAGUGUCAUUUCAGUCAACCAAAUAUAUAAAUAUAUAUAUAAUCUGAUGCCCAAGUUGUAGAAGCAACGGGCAGAAGGCUGCAAUGAUGAUCCAUAAGAAUGUUAAAAUGCAUCUAGAAAUUCACCAAUUUACUAGAUUUGUUGUAAACACCAAAGGAAGCAACUAGAAAGAAGCAGUAUCGCCUAUAAACAAGUAGGCAUACUCUUUGCGAAGUAUUCGGAGAAGAUCCAGGUAAAAUAAUCAGAAAAUUGAAGAUUUCUUUCCAGAUUUCAAUAACUUGAAAUUAUUCGAAAUUUCUGAGAAUGUCUGCUUACGAGUUUCACAUAAAACACACAAAGUGAAAAGCAAAAGCACUCACCAGUAUCUUCUGAAUCAGAAGAAUACUCUUCUUCACCUUCUGCCACAGCAUCUCCAUUUUCUUCAGCUAAACCAGUCUCCACUGGCUCCAGCAUUGCUGCUAUUCGUUUUUUUGGAGCCUUCUUCAGGCCAGGAAGAGCAAUCAAGUCUGCUGCUCGCACCACACGAGAGCUGCUCCCCUGCUUAUAUGCCUUGGUUAAUGCGGCUUUAACUGCAGGUUGAAUUCCUUCCAUUGGAUUAGGAUGGCCCUAAAAUCAAUUGACAAGUGUUAGAAAUGCUCACGAGAGAAAUAUACUCGGAAAAGAAACACACACAAAAACGAGCACAGAUGCACACGCACACAGACAUGCUGGAUGUUAGUUAUGUAGAACAGACUGAAAAGCGAACCAAAGUUUACUUUGUCUGCAAAGAAUGUCUUGCUGCACUAAAAAUAAAUCUAGCAAGUUGGAUUUGCCAUGAGGUCAGAGCUAGAUACCCUAUCCUCCAACCUCAAAGAAAGUCAAGGGGUUAAGACCAGGACCGUGAUAUUUCAGCCAAGAAGUGAACUGCAAUUUAAAGAGAAGAAGAAGAAAUUGAAUGCCUAUGAAACAAUGAAAGACCAAACAAAUGCCACAUUAACACAAGCGUGAAGCCAAAUUCACAGUCCAAAAGUUUUUCCAUAAAUUCUUCUUUGACCAAGGACUUGCACUUUCUAAAUUCCUACAAAGAUCUUGCACUUUCUAAAUUCCUAUAAAGAAAUUGUGCUUUCUAAGUUCCAAAAAGGGGUGUUAUUCUUCAAAUAUUAGAUAAACACUAAUUCUGGAUUUUAAAAAUUCCCUACAAGUUCAUUCCUAGAGAAUUGUUGACAAAGUCCUUGUUCUAGUUCCAAUUCUUGCUGUUGCUCAUUUUGGGAUCUGAUUUUCUGUAUAUCUUCUUAUACGGCAUCAUUCCAACUAGGCCAAUUCAUAAGCAGCAUCAGAUAGCAAAAAGUAACCCUUCACUGGAGAAAGAAAUAAAGUACCAGUCAAAAUUCAACAAGUCUUUUUAUCAGCUAUGAUUGAAUUUAUACACAGACAUGCCACUUGCCUUGGACAUGUGAUUGCUUGUGCUUUCUACUUUUGAACUGUCUCCAUCAUCACGCAUACAUCUUUCUUUUCUUUUUCUAUAAAGAAAGAUCCUCAUUUUGCUUGGUCGUAUAAAUAUUGAUGCAGGGGGAUCACCAAACUCGAUGUCAACCACUCUGUUCACUAUCGGGAGGACUGAACAAGGUCUGAGAGCGAGAUCUGUCACAUUAAGAAGCCGAAUUGCAUACCAAACCGCUCGAGACUCAAACAUGCUUGUAUAACAUCCUAUCGAGGUGCUCUUUUUUUAAAAUCAGAUAACUUUUAAGCUCUGCAAUGUGAUGCCAAUCCCUAAAAGGUCCCCUAUACCUAGCAAUCAGGGCCAAACCCAUCAUUUAGGCCUCAAAACAAAUCAGUCAAAGAAAAAUUCUUUUCGAAAAGACUUUAACCAUGCACAUCUCAUGAUUCCGGAAGAAUUAGACGAAACAAUUGCACAUAAAGUUGAUGUAAAAGUCAAUAUCUACCUCUUGUAGGAUUUUUAGCUUUUUUUGUGAUUAUUUCCACUAGACAUCUCUAUUUCAGGAAAAAUGUAACCUCUUUCAACUAUAAUAGCAAUCUGACCUAAAGGGUGGACCUCACUAAUAUGAAUAGAGGCUUCAUAAUUCGGUCCUAUUAUUCAAUAAUGAAAGAAAAGAGGACUUACACCCUACUUUCACUAAUUUUUCUUGAAGGGAUCUCUUCCUUGUCCCCAAUAAGAUCAAAUAUUUAUAACUAGCUUCUCCAAAAGAAUCUACUACAAACACAAUGACUGUAUUCUUCUUUUGAUAUCAUUCAUAGAUAGUGAAACAUUCCAGCCUUUUGGAACCUCAUAGCAAAGAUGUUGAGAUGGUUCAGUUUUAUUUUAUUCCCACAAGAUACAAGCAACAUGGCCUAGGGUAUCCCAUUUUAUAAAAGGGUAGCUCAACUCUUUCAGUUUUGCAUCUCCUUGUAAACAUGUUGAAUUCUUUCCUAUAUCAAAAACAACCAUUAGCAAUGUUGUCAACAUUGGGUUUGAAUCAUAAAUAGUAGAUGAGACAACAUUAGAGACCAGAUAAUAGAUCAUGAGAUUUUUAAAAUGAAAAAUUCAGAAACUUUGAGAAUUACAGAUAAGAUAAAUGAUGAAAAAAAGCAAAACUUCAUAAUUAAAAUAUAAGAAUCUAACAUGACCUCCAAGAAACCAAAAUAUUUUCACCACCAUAAGCUCACAAAUAAUAUAUUGAGGAAACAAACACCACAUAAAUUCUUAAAAUAUCCUCUACUUUAAUCAAAAUGAUGUAUACAUAGGCCCACAGAAUAGACGAAAAAGAUCAAUGAUACUUUCCCAAUCAUCAUUGGUAACAAGCAUAAUUCAGAACCACCUUCCUUUCUACAUUCUGCAGAAAAGAAAAAAAUCAUCCAUAUCCUAUAGUUGAAUCUUAUAUGGCAACAUAAGAUUCAACUUACUACCUCUAAACAAAGUUGAUCAGAAUGCUGAAUAUGCUCAAAAUGGAAGAUAUCACCAAUCCAAAUAUUUGAACAUAAUAAUCCUUCAAGACAGGAAGAUUAUAGCAGGCAAAGGAAUGAAAAGGAGAAACAAUGACAAAAAUAUGAAUAUUUAUGUCUAGCUUUUAACUUCUGAACUCCAGCAUCUAAUAUAUAUAUACAUACACUAAAAUGAAGGCUCUGCUUCAGCAUAGCUCUCCAUUCACCACCUGUACAGAUACUAGAGCUCUCCGUGUGCCAUGUGAUGCCCAUAUUAAUAAUAUUAUUAGUUAAGCUCCUAUUUAAUAUUGUAUUAAAUAAGAAUCUUAUUAAUACAUUAAUAACAAACUUAUUAGCUUAUCAAAUCAUAUUAAAUAAAGGAGUUUGCAUAAGUACACUACAUUAAUAUAGAAACUAAUAAUAUUAUUAAUAACCAUAUUUGCUUAAUGUAUGUUAAUAUUAGUGAAAAAUAUUUUUCAUUAGUACGGUACCCUGCCCAUAUCAUGCAUGAUUCAUUAUAUUACAUUAAUAUUUUAUUGCAUUUUUGUGGUCAUAUUCUUAUUUAAAAGUGAAAGUACAACCACCAAUAAUCCCACUAUAUUGCAUUUAAAUAUCCUUAAUAUGCAAUAUUUUUCUAUUUCUUAUUUAUACGCAAGCUAGAUCAUGAUCUUAUUAUUUUAUCAUAAUAUAUUAUCUUACUAUAUUGAUAAUUAUACAUAUACUAUUAAAAUUUUAUAUAUUGAUAGUAUAUCGUAAUAUUAAUAUCAAAAAAAUAUUUAGAAAAUAAUUUGGCUUUUAUAUAUAUUAUAUUUUAUUCUAUUUCAGUUAUUUAUUCUAUUAUGUCUAUUUUAUAUUGCAUUUCAACAACAGUUGGAAAAAAGAGAAAAAAUUGCACCCCAUGCACCGCGUGGGUUAUAAGCUAGUUUAUUUACUAUUUGCUUUUAGAAGUCCAGAACCAUUAAGGAGCUUGCUUUCUUGUGCCAGAGGAUUAGUAAUGAUAGAUAUGAUUAUUCAAAGGACAGUUAAGUUGAUCAUAAAUUUCGCUUGGUUUAAUAUGUAGAGAAGAUGAACAAGUUGGAACUUGUACUCCAAGGAAUAAUACAAUCCGUAGAUAUUAUGAUUUCAUUUUACUAGUCUCAAUCUGAAAUGCAGACAUACAAAUAUUUCAUGCAUAACAAGUUGGGAUCAUUCCGAUUCAUGAAAUAAGACCAUGAUACCAACAGCAAUUAGUAUCAUCUAAUGCAGACACAACAAAUGUCAACCAUCGACCUCAAGGAAUACAAAAAGCAACCAACAAAAUAGUUAGUCAAAAAAAUAAUAUGGGCUCAUUUUUAUUAGCAAAUAUUGAGAAUAUUUAAUGGUUCUUUGAAAAUUCUGAACCAUAAAUAGACCAACCCGGAAUUUGGACAUCUCCACGAUGGUAUCAAAAUCCUCUUGACUUAGGGAAUAAGUGUCCAUUAAUUCCACAACCUUCUGAACAGCUUCCUCCUGGCAUUUGUUUUCACAUGUUAUACAUAAUAAUUGUUCUGUUUUCCUUAAGCAUAAAAUCUCUCUGAAACCAAAGCAGACCAGAGAACAUCAGACCUUAGGCAUCACUCGCAGAGGGUCUGUCAGUUGUUUCAGCAGAAGAGUGAAGUAAUCCACCCGCAAAGUCUCCCUGGUGCAUUUAGAUAUUAGAUAAAGAGUAGCAUCUCCAUUAUAGAUAAUACAACUUCAAGCCUACUGAGUAGAAGGUAUUUCAAAACAUUCAGGUGGUGCUAGUCAAGUCAUUGACCUAAUAAUCCUGAAACUUCUGAUGUUCUUAAGUCAAACAUUUUCAUCUUCUUUAUGGUCCUGAUAUAGAUAUUCACACAACUGUUGCAGCAUACAGAUAGAGAUAUUCAUUUAAGUCUAUUUCAUAACACAUUGACAAAGUAGAGGAAGGGCAAAAGAAAGUAAUUCAUAUCAAAGGUACUACAUCAAACAAACAGGAUGAAGGAUAAAAACUUAUGAACAUGGCUAGAAGGGCAUGCCACAAUGCUUCAUCGCGUCUCAAAGAUGUAGUUGGUCAAUAGUUUUCUUGUAUAAAGCGUUGGAUUAACCAUGCUCUGAUUUUGGAUUUCAUGCAAUCAAAAACUGACAAAAACAAAUUGAUUGCCAUUUGAUACACAAUAUUUCAUUUAAUAAUUGUCAUGAUGGUUUAGCAAAAUCUGCAGAAAGUCAUGUAUAAACACUAUAGUUACUAAAAAUCUACAACAUGUAGACUUACUCAUUUAGUUAUGCAAACAAUAAGGGAAAACUAUUGAGUUCAUAGGAGGUUUCGAACAACUACAAACAAGAUUUGCAGACGAUAAAUAAAACAAAUGGAAGAAUACAGAUUUACCUGGAGGGUGGUGUAGAAAUAUGUCAUCACGGACAUAUCUACAUAAGCAUGCAGGCACAGAUUAAGCAACUCAAUCAUCAAAGCCUUGGCACCAAUACACUGCUUCAAUCCAGCACUAAAUGCUAAUAUUGCAACUAUGUUGCAGAAUUUUGAACUCAAUUACAGCUUAAUUGUUCAUCUUUGACUUGUCCACUUUAUGACUAACUUAAAGUUUUAUGAAGUCCUUCCAGGAAUAGCUCUUUCAUAUAAAAAUACAGUAUUAAAUAGUGCUUAUGUUAUUUGACAAUUAACAAUGAUUUUACUACUUACAUCAGAAUCAGAAUGGUCCACUUAAUAUUAAUAUCAUAUUGACACGAUUUAAUAUUAACAUUCCAGUUAUUACCAGUAUCAUUAAAUGUUAUAAAUGAAAACGUAGAUUAUAAGAAAUCAACAGGAAUCAAUGUUCACAAAAGUCUCCUUUUUGAAACAUAGUUAAUAGCAUUUUUUUAACUAAUUUCAGCAUAAGUAUCUGUAUCAAGCAUUCACGAAUUCAAUACAUAAACUCUUAUUAUAAGCACCACAGCAUAAAUGAAGCCAACUUGAGACAAAUCUGCAUUAAAUGUGUUUCAUGUCUGUCAGCCAAACCAUGUAAUCUUGAUCAUAUUGGCAAGCCCACCAUAAUAUGGAAACUGUAAAUUUGCCAAUUCUUCAUGGGUCCUUAUGUGGAUUAUAUUGGAUUUGCAUAUGCAUAUAGAUUAUAUAGCAUAUAUACACUUCUAUGACCUUCUUAGUCGUGUGUUUGACUUGACUUGCUGAUGAGAUCAUACAGUCACUUAAUCUCCACCUAAACUAUGAUGGUGUUUGAGCCCAGGACAACACAUUUUUGAAAACUUUUGAGACUUGUCAUACACUAGCCAAGUCACCAUUCACUGUUGAAUUGAAUUGUCAUGAUGAAUUACAUGCACUUAUUCUCACAUACCAUGCAUUAAGGAUGUUUUCAACUUGCAUAUAAACUAUGAAAUCAGAUAUUAUAGCCUUAUGGCCACAUUCCAGGUUAAUGAAAACCACCUGAACAAGUAAUGGAGGAAAAUAUGAAGUGCUAAGUGAAAUCAGUUUUGUCAGAAAGGAAAAGUUUAUUUCUUUUUCUAGAAAUUUCAAAAAGUAAUGGCAUUUUCAAAGGGAAAUAAGGGAUCUAGAUCUGAAGUGUAAUGUCACCAAGAGAAUACAGCACUUAAUUGAUGGUGCAUGAACACGAAAAGAUCUCACAUGUAUUAAGCGGAGUAUAGAACCAGCAACUAAUGAGCUAAUUAUUAAAAAAAAAUCAUGUAGUUUACCUGUUCAUAUUAGCUUCCUGGGAAGCAAGAAUAUGAAUAUGGACAUCCUCCAAAAGCCUCAAGUUCUUUCCCAUUGUUGAGUUCUUUCCCAACCAUCCACCAAAUCUAUUAUAGUUUCGCUCUCCCUGAACCAGAAAAACUGAAAAAUUGAAAGACCAAUUUACUAGUAGCAUUUAUGGAAAAUAUUUCAUGUUUUGAUGGGGUUUCUCUUUUAUUGCAAUUUUUCAUAAGAGCAAGUAAGCCUCAACAUCUUCAAGAUGCUCAUUAACAUUCCCAAAGAAAUAAUUGCAGUAAAGUAAAAUUCUAAAGAAAUGGAGGAUGAAUGCCAUUUAUCUUCAAACCUGGUGGUGCCCAUGUCAUUAUCUCCAUAAUGGAUCAUCAAGACAAAAAUUUGCAUAUCAGAAUUAAGCUGAUAUGAUGAAAACAUUAUUGUUCUUAUAAGGGUUUUUUGCAUGAAUACCCUCCUAAAUAUCGGAUUUUGCAUGAAUAUCCUUCCAAAAUUGAUAUUUGCAUGUAUACCCUUGUAAAACACUUGUUUUGCCAUUCUACCCUUUUUUAUUUUUGUUUUUGCAUAUGUACCCAUGCUAUCUAACGACGUUAAAAAAUUAACGGUUUCAGAUUAAAAUGACUAAAAUACCCUUAAUGGAUAGACAUGCAAAUAGAUUGUGAUCCCAAUAGGAGAAGAAGACAAGGACANNNNNNNNNNNNNNNNNNNNUUGUUUUGCCAUUCUACCCUUUUUUAUUUUUGUUUUUGCAUAUGUACCCAUGCUAUCUAACGACGUUAAAAAAUUAACGGUUUCAGAUUAAAAUGACUAAAAUACCCUUAAUGGAUAGACAUGCAAAUAGAUUGUGAUCCCAAUAGGAGAAGAAGACAAGGACAAUAGCAUAAUUUAAAAUUUUAUUUUAUUUUUAAUUAAUAUAAAUAUGAUUUUUCUUAACACCGUUAGAACAACUGUUAUAUUACGGGCAUUUGUACAAUAACAAAAUUUUACGAGAGUAUACAUGCAAAUAUCAAUUUUGGAAGGAUAUUCAUGCAAAAUUUGAUAUUUAGAAGGGUAUCCAUGGAAACCCUUCUUGUAAUAAUUAAAACAAGCGCGGACUACACUUCGGCAACAAUAGAAAGUAGUAAAAGUGACACACUGACUUAAAACAUACUAGAAAGCAAUAAUUGCGGAAUAAAUCCCUUGCACUAAGCAAAUUAUAAAUUUAUAAAUAAGUGCUUGCUGAAAUUUAAAAAUUACCGGUUCAAGGGUCUCCCUAUGACCAUGCAUCAAAGCAGCCCUGGUGGAAUAAUUAAUAAAUAAAUAAAACAAAAAAACAAACAUACAAAAACACAAAAUAAACCGAGAAAUUGAGAGAAAAGACUUUGUGCAGGAUGAUCAUAACAUCAUUAAAGGAAGCAUUGUUUAGUGUUUGACAAUUAACAUACGGAAUUAUGCAAGAGGCAAAUGAUCCAGCUUGGGAUAGCUGCCAUUGGCGAUAUCUUCUAAUUUGAACAUUGACUAUGUCACCAUCCCCAAUAGACUCAGCAGCCCGGGCAAUCAGACUCAUUCUUUUGACUCCAUUAUCAUCCUUUCCAAUAGAAGAUGGACGAUAGUUGAUAUAAUUUUCCUGGCAUUUAAUGAAAAAGCAACUCAGGAUAAUUAAGUACAAAAUAUUUUUUUUAAUAAAAUCUGUAGAAACUUUAGUUUCCCCUUGCUGCAUAUAGUUAGGGAAAGAGUGCAAAGACAAUAGACAUCCACAUUGAUGGUGCCUCCAAACUGUUAACUACCAUAUUCUACGUUAUUAAAAACCAUAAAAAGAUAUAGAUGCAGUUUCAACUAAGUCCCUAAUUGAUCAAGCACAAUCACCACUAUAUGCCAUGAUUUUAACUGAUCCAAAUUCUAAAUUUGUAAUACCUUCCCUACAAAAGGAAAUUAUGGAACACUGAAACUAAUUAAACUUAACAGUCAUGAUAAUGUCAACUUUCUGAAGUGCAUUUCAAUCAGCAUGUGUGUGGGCAAUUUAAAUGGUCGCAACAAGUAAUUAAUUAUAUAACCUUAGCCUGCCCAUCAAACUUUAAAAAUCAUUAACACAACUAGAUCAUUAAUUCAAGUGCCACAAUUAAAUGUAAACUUAAAAUGACAGAGGCAGCAGUAGUAUAGCAAUGGCAUUCAAAGUUCAAAAUUUCACGAUUCUCAUGCUUCAAUUGUUUCUCUCAGGGGUCAGGACUUAGGAGUUACAGUUCCUUUGAUGUACUAGCGCAGUGUAAUUGAUUCAAUACACCUGAAUAAAGAGUCAAAUAUCAAAAUUCCCAAAUUGAAGCUAAAUAUACUGAUAUUUUUGGCAAGUUGUACUGAACUUCCCAGCUGCCAAAGGAGUUGUGCUACAUGCAGGGUGGCCAAGGGACUGCCUAAGUCCAGGCAGCCCAAGCAGCCAUUUUUUUAAAGGUAUUGACAAACCAUUCCUCUGUUUAAUAUUUCAAAAGUACUUUAUCAUUUUCGAACCUACAACCCUAUGUUGAGUGAGGUAAAGGAGUCAAAACAGAUUAAAAAUAUUUAAUACAUGUUAACAAGUUAACGAUAGCAAUGCUUAAUACAAGUUAACCAAUUAAAAAAUAUAUAAAUCAUAUAGCUACCAAAUCUCUGUCAAGGUCACAGGAUGGAUACUUCGGGUAAGAAGGUUUUAUACUUCAAGCAGAAAAACCAUGACAGAUUAUCCAAAGAAAAAUCUACAAAGACACAUUAUUCAUUAAUGAUAUCAAAUCCAUGUUUGGAAAAAACAUUCGUUUGUUUAUCGCAAACCUGAAUAAUAAGAGGGAUCAGGUCAGGAUCACUCAUGCUCAAGUCAACCCUCUCUUCCAUAUGCAAUUUUCCACCAUUGAAACCAAAUAACCUACAAAUGAAACAGCGUUAAAGGCAGAAGCAGUUCUGUAUAUCAGCUACACUGCAUCAAAAUUUUCGAAGUCAAGCAGGCCCUGAAAUCAGCAUUUUGGUAGUUUUAGUGGAUAUAAAAUCAAGAACGAAUCAAAGAUGGUCUCCAAAUUGGUAGAAUGACAUUGGGAACUAUUUCAAUCAACAGGAUGAGAACCUGGCAGAUACGAGCAUUAACAGGUUGGCCUAUAAGUCAUAUCCCAGAUGACAGAUGAUAGUAAAAAACAAUGCUGGUGAAGCAUGAUCGGCAAGAUAAAGUUGGAUAUGCAAGCAUGAUAUGUCAUUGAAAAUUCAAGUUAAUUUUACUCAUUGACUAAAGCUACCAAAGAUAAAAGUAAGAAGUCUGUAAAGGAUAAUUAGCAAUAAAAUUAAAUCGAAUACACAAUGUGUGGUGAAAGAAGAAUAAUUAAGACAAUUUAUUUUGUUCUUUUUUUAAUAUUCCUGUUGUUCAUUUCUCCAAGAAGAUGGCAUGCCUUGGCGCAGUGAUAAGGUUGCUCCAUUAUGACAUGGGUGUCACAGGUUCAAAAUGUGAAAACGGUCUCUCCACAUAUGGGGGUAACGCUGCAGCUGACCCUCCCUAGACUCUAAAGCGGUGGGAACCUCAUGCACUAGGAUGCCCUUUUGUUCAUUGCUAAAAGUGGACAAUGGCGCUAGUUAAAAGAAAUGCAAAAGAGGAAAAUGCACCUAUGUGAAGAUGGUAGCCCACAGCCAGCAAUAUAUAUGAAAACCCUAGAAUUGAUAAAAUAGAACAACUAGACGCUCUCAUACGGUCUUCCCAACCUCCAUGGAAGUUGAGAAACAAGAUAAUGCAAUGCUCUCAAUUACACCAUGCAACAAAACACCUAAGUACCUUCUAUCAAACUUCUUUUGAACUUUUCUUAUCAAGGGAAAGCAGAACCAUUCUUUCUUCCAGUUGUUAAUCAUAGCAAUGAAACCAAAGAAUAAGCUGAUCGCUAAGAACCAAAGGCCCAUGAAUAAUAUGCGAGUGCACCUUAGCUGUAAUUUAUGAAAUAUAUAUAAUAACGUUACAUGUACAUACAUCACAAGAUCCUGUCUUCUAUGGUAGUGUAAUAUGUGAAGCACUAAAGCCUAUUAAAAUGUAUACACAGCACACGAUAAGAAUCACUGCAUCAUUUUAGAAACCCAAGACAUACAUGGUAGCCUUACCAAUCUAUCAUCACAUUGGCUCAUCCUCGGAAAAUCUCCACUACAAGAUUGUCUUGCCACAUCAUCCUCCACAAAGUUUGCCACACUUUUGCUGGAAUUCAGUAACCCCGUUAUUGGACUGACUUGCCAUACCUUCUUCAUAAAGUUAAUCAAAUGUUGCCACAAUCCAGCAACAUGAAUUCCCACAUCGUAAAGAUUAAGGAUAGAGAUGACAUUCAUCAAAUGAUUCUAGAUCAAAUAUUGAUUCGAUAAAGGCUCACUUUUAUUCUUCCUAAUGAGUCUUGGAACUUAACUCCUAAGGUCCAAUUUGACCAAAUCCACUUCUAUAAGUGGACGUAACACCUGAAAUCACCUUCUUGCUCUGAUAUAGUGCUGACUACACAAGUCUACUGGUAUCCAGAUGUACCAGUUUCUAACUCGAUCUUCUUUCACUCGAUCUUCUUGCACCUCAUGUUUCAAACUCAAAUAUAUUUCUGUAAUAUCUGUUCACUUUGAUUUCUACAAUAUAUAACAUCACAAAGAUCCGAUUCUGAUGAUGCUCUGACCACACAUUAAUCCAUCUUGAGUCGAUAUCAUCUGGAACAAAAUGCGCUUGCUCCUAUCCAUACAGGUCUUUCCCCUGGAUUUUAGGCCUCAUCUAAACCUCUUUUAAACAAUUUUCCAUCUUAUACAUCGGAAUUUUAAGCUCCCUGGGUGCUUAGUUACUAUCCUUUGGAACCUGGGAAUUUCUACACUAUACAUAGACUUACUGCCAUGCUCACUUUUUACUUUUAAGUGGUCUUACCGCAUCUUCUUUCCCUUUUGAUGCAAGGAGUAAACAGGAGAAAGGGCAUGCAAACUGUUAAGGUUAGAAAUUUUCUGUGGUGCUUAGGAUUAGAUGGUCAGUAGUUCAGAUCCAACAUUAAAAUAUUAUCUACAAAAUCAUAAAGGUGGACAAACCCCUACAACACUUUGAUAGAGGCAUAGGACUUAAGGUAUCUAGUGGUCAGCAUGAAUUGUAGAGUAUGCAUGAAGUAAAAGGAAAUACUUUAUUUGCUGGAAUUUUACAAGGAACUGUGUUUCCAUAAAACUUGAACUUGUAAACUUCUACAGAAAAGGCUGAAAUUAAAUCACAAGAUGGAAGAAUCCCAAGGAAUCAGAUUACAUUUGAAUUACCAAUCGUCUUAUACUUUUUUCAACUAUUAUGAGCCAAGUUUCCAAGAUCAUCUGAAAGUAAUGCUUUGCACUCAUUUGAAUAUGAAGUUGACCCACUGGGCAACUUCAGCUUCUGCUAGUUUGUGUAAAUAUUCCACAUUGCGAAUUUGCCACUAUCACACAUGACAAUCUACAAAGUAAAAAAUUGGAAAAAGAAAACUGAAUGCAAGUUGAACUGAUCCCAGGAAAUCAAAUAAAAAGAAAGGCCAUCAUAUGAAGAAAAAUAUCUAAGCUAUUAGUAAAGAUGAAUUUUAUAGGAGUCACAGGAAAAAAAAACAGUUUCACUUAUAACAGAUCUGAAGACUUAAUGAAAAUUAUAAAUAAAAAGGAAGAAAAAUAAAAUCACAAAAGAAACAGGUGGUGAAGAAUAAUUACUUGUCAACGGCUGUAAAGGGUGAAAUAUCUUCAUCUUUUGAACUACUAAGAAGGCGUUGUCUGAUAUCAUCAUAAUUGAUUACUGAUUGCGAGAGGCUCAUAUACUGCAACUGAUUUAUUGCCAUCCGCAUAUCUCCAUUCACUCUGUUUGCAAGUUCUUCAAGUGCAAUCUAUUCAUAAAGGGGGAUCGAAGAGGGAUAAAGCAGUAUAUAUCAGUCUUUUUAUAAAAAAAAGAUUUAUGUGAUAGCAAAUGAAAAACAUAUAAGAAAAAGGAACUGGGACUUGUAGAUCAGCUGGAGUUUAGUUAAUCAUAAUGAGAUGGAACAUCAAUAAAAGAAAUAAAUGAGAAACUCAUGAUUAUACACUAAACCCGAAUAAGCAAACAAUGUGGUCAUAAACAACCUCAACUGCAGACAGACAUAUGGUACAUGAUUAAUCAAAACAAGGACAGCGGAAUAAAAGAAGAUAGAUGAUGUUAACUUCACAAGGCACCUCAUUAACUUGAAGACCUUCAGCAUCUGCAAUCUGCUUCAACCUCUUUGCCAUCUGCCAUGCAAAAGCUAGAAAUCAGCUGUUAUAUUUCUACAUUUUUCCAAGUUGUCACUAGAGACAAAGAAAUCUACGUAGCCAAGGAACUACCAUUUUCACCAUAAAACUAGCUCUACCAGUGAAAGAUCAAACAAUCAUCUUUACCGCCAGCACAAUUUAUCAGGUACACUAACAUCCUAACAGUCAGCAACAGUUGAUCAUUCAUUAUUCUAAGAACAUGAGGCAGCAUUUUAUAUCCCAUGUCAAGUCAUGGUUAACUAUUAUAUGUGAUAAAUUUUCCAUACGAAAAAAUCUGGAAAAAAAAUAUAUUAGACAACUAGGUAAACAAGACAUAAGAACAAGCCAAGUCAUGCUCAAAAAAGAACAAGCAAAGUCAAGAACAAAAUAUGAAAACUAUAGCUAAAAGACAACUAUGUGAUAAUAUUCACAAAUUUACAUUCAAAGCUUAAUAGAGCUGGUAAAAACAUUGCAUCAACUCUCUGAUCAAUUUCUAAUACAGCAGUACUUGUACAAGUAACUGAGCCUUAAGCAUAGUGCAUUUAUCACACUAUGCUCAUGUAUUCAUAUGUUUUUUAGCAAUUAAUAGCAACCAAACGGUCAUCUAUGAGCCUGCUAUCAGCACCUAUCCCCACCAUGCCAACAAGAGGUGUCCAAAGGGUUGUGAUUUGUGAACAUGAUCAAAAGAAUUCAACAUUUUAGCCGAGUCCCCUUUAAUGAAAUGUUUACUUACAACUUUAAUCUAUCCAAGAACAAACAAAAAUUAAAAGCAAUAGAGAUCAUAAGCCAUGAUAAGUAGAUAAGCAACCACUGUUUUAUGGAAACAACACACGAAUUCAGACAACCUGCUGUUUAGUAGGCUUCCUGAAGUUAAGCAGCAGGCAGUAGUUGACAAGACUCUUAAGUUUCUGGCUGUAGCGGUCAUUACAGAUGCAAAUGAUCGGGAUUUUAGAUAUUUUUAUACUAGCAAUAAGAUCAGCAACACCACCUCUAUCUCCAGCAGACAUACCAUCAACCUCAUCCAUGAUCAGUACAGAUUUUGGAUGCUUUGACCUGUAAUUUAGAUUACCAGCAGUAUGAGAACAAAGAAAGCCAUUAUUUCUACUGCGAUUAAAAGACUUGCACCCAUGUAAAACCAACCAGUUCUUGCGACAACUUAGGGCUUCAUUGCUGACAAGUUCUUUGAUAGAAUUUGAUGUAUUUCCACCAACUCCUUUAACAAUUUUGGUAUCUGCCUUGCCACGAUUAUCACUUGCAUUAACCUGCAGAAGAGAUUGGCAGAAAUAUUAGGAGAAAAAUAAGAGCAAAAUAUCACUAAAAAAUGCAUAUCGUACCCAACUUACCUACAUAUCCCAUGAAAAAGGCAGAACUAUAAAACAACAGAAACGCACCUCAAUAGCCUGAAAUCCAAGCAUCUGACUAACUAACUUCGCUGAAGUGCUUUUCCCAAUCCCAGGAGAUCCACUUAAGAGUACAGCUUUUUUGGAUCCACUAUCAGCCUGUUUUUUUCCCUUUCCCUUUUGGCCAGUAUGCAGAAAUUGUUCAUUCCAAUGCACUAGCCAAUCAUGAAGUUGCUUAACCUACACAUGGCAACAUAAUGCUGAAGUUUCUGCAAUGAAAUCCAGUUAGGAAAAUGAUAACAAAGGUAAAGACAGAGUUCCAUACAAGUGACUGGUUGCCAAUGAUGUCAUCUGGAACCUUAGGUCGGUAUUUCACGGUCCAUGUCAAUGAACUGCGGUCAGCAGAUUGGAUUUUUGGCUUGUCAGGAGAGGUGCUUGACUUAACAAUUUUUGCAGCAUCUUUUCUUCCUACAGAACCAACUUGAUCUACUUAAGGAGACCGAAUGCAUCAAGAUACAUUGUAAAAGAAUUAUAAUUUAAAGAAAAUAAAAUCUCCAGGACAAUUACAUAAAUGAAUAGCAAUUACUUAGAAUUGGAGCUUAGAAAGGGGUAAAGCAGACAUGACAUUGAUAAUGUUUUAUCUGAUUCCAAAAUUCAAUAGAUAAUGUUAAAGAACUUAUAGGAGACAACAUGACCACAUAUGCAUGAGUGUACAACGUACCUGUGAACAUAUUAAUGCAAGACACUAAUUAUGUUAAAGUCACAGUCCCUUCAUUUUGUCAAUUAGCAUAUCAAAUAGGCUGCAUCAGAUCGAGAUUCAGUACUGACUGAACUUGCUUACAUCCAUCAUUGAGAAUAUAGAACUGAACCCUAGUAUACUUGCUUGUUUUGGAAUGGAUAAAGGAAAGAUGUAAUAACAUAAGGUAUUUCAUAUUAUAUGAGCCUGGUUUGGUCAGAUCUGGUACAGGUUGGAUUUUGUUCUAUGAAUCACAGAACCAACCUCCAGGGAACUUUGUAUCAAGCAUGGACCAGGAUUCUGCCGAUGGUCUAAUUGGAUGAAGUCACCACAACCAGUUAUAAGAGUUUGCAACCAAGAAUCGACUAAUGAUUACCAGAUGUAAGCAUGUUCGAUAUAACUCUAUCAUAUGAUCAAUCACAUCUUUUGGGAAUUUAAGAAGUUACAGACAAUAGUUGGUACCUUAAUGCACAAACCAUAACCAUUACAAUAGCCAACAAAUAUUACUGCAGAGGGUUGCAAUUAAAUAUAUGAUCCAUCUUUGCUACCCAUCCCUGUAUAAAUGAAUAUCUAGAAUUACAUCCAGUCUCUUUGUGCUCCUCAUAACUUCCAUGCAGAUGAUGCUAACGGGUCACAGGAUAAAGAAAGUAACGCCCCUACCAGUUGAAAUCAUUGUCAUAAAUAACCAUAGCCAUCAAGACUUCCAAAUUUCAAUUAUCUGGGAUUGGCUUUACAUAUCUAUCUUCAUUAAUUGUUAGGAGCUACAACAACCAUCAUGAGCCUCUGUAUCCUUUCUCAGAACUUAAAUCCAUGCUUACCGAAGUUCUAAAACUUGGUUUUAGUUUCAGUUGAAAUCCCUUGGUAGAGUUUGGUUUCAAGAGUUUCUGCAGUUUCGAUAAUUGUGCUCCAAAUUUCAUAGUUUCAGUCAAAAAUAUUAGAAAAAAUAAAAAAAAAGGAAGAAAAAAGACAUCAAGAGAAGGUUUUUCACACUCUUUCACUUUGUUAUGCGUUAUCUAGGACAAUAUUUGUGCAAUUAGUACAGUUUUAGGUUGAAAAACUGAACUAUACUGAAGCUUAAUGUAUUAAAUAAAAGAAGCCUCAACUCCCUAAAUAGUUUAAGUUCUAUCUUUACAAGUUAUAAUGGAAUAGUUGAACUGAGGGAGAUUAACUGAAUUUAUUAUGGGUGAACUGAAGAAAGAUCAAGUGGCUUUGUACCAAGUCUAUCGCUAGGGCAAUUGUCGAGGUGCAAGGGCAAUCACCUAGACCAAAAAAGGUUAGGUCUAUCAUCUAAAGUCACCUAGUAUAUUUGACAACUAUGAGCGGUCAAGAGGCCUUUUUUCUUAUUUGCCAUAAUUCGCUACUCCUAAUCAUCGCUACUUAAAGAAGUUCCAUUCGACCAUUACGCAAGCAUGCAUGAUUUAAAUCAAUCCAUAAUGUUGUGCACACAUGUAUGCAUUAAAAAUGUAACUAUAAAUAUUUAUGUAAGUAUCGGCAGGGUCCAUGGAUAAUGUAUGCAUUAAAAAUGUAACUACAAAUAUUUAUGUAAGUAUGGGCAUGGUCCAUGGAUAGCCAUACACACACACAAAAAAAAAGUGAAUUGAUAAGUAAUAUUCCAUAUAUCUUUGACAAAAAUUCAUUUUCUGGAAUAAGCAACAGCUAUGAGAUACCGAACAUAAUAACCACCUUAAGCAAUUACCUAACAUCCCAAAACAAAAUAACACCAAAAACAUCAGCAUUAUAAAUUUUCAUCAAAGAAACAAUACUACUGAAGAAAAAAAAAAGAACACAAAUAGAAUGAACCAAAAGCAUAAACAAAUCUUAACUAUAUAUUAUAUCAAAGGACAUAUAGCAACAACUAGCAGGCCUACCAGCUGUAUGUGAUCAACAGGCACAAGUACACAUAUAAAAUACAUCAAUUACAGACAAACGGAGCUAUUUAUUACUCAAAUAGGCAUAUAUUAUAUCUAAGCGAGAAUCAGAGGAAUGCAUUUUAUAAACUUACUCAGAAAAGAAUGGCUAAAAGUUAAAAAAGAUAAUGCAAGGAGGUUCAGUAGAGGUGGUGUGUGCUUAUGCAUCCAAAACUUCAAAAAAAAAAAAGUUGCUAUUGCAUGGAUGUCAAAUGACAAGAUUGCAGAUUAAACUUCAGCCCAAUGAAGGAAUUACACUGAUUAUAAAAGAAUCAAAGCACCAAAAAAUGAGUUAUCUGCCAGAGUACUGGGAGUUUUCAUGUGAAUACAACAGCCAAAUGGUAAGAUCAAAAUAAUUCAAGACCUUCGCCAGUCCUUAUGUUAAUGGAAAGUUAAAUACAGUUUUUCUUAACAGCAAUACAAAUAUGAGAGAUAUUUGGAAAACCCUCAGUAAUCAGCUGUCAAUCUUGUACCUUGUUAAGAAAUUAAAUCAGCAAGCAAGCUGGAAACAAGCACAAAGUCUACUCAACAAAAAAUAAAGACCACAAAAUCUAAGAAAAGGCAAGUGGAUCAAUAUCACUCAGAACUAAGAGCAAUACUGGAAAUGAAUAAGUGAAAUAUGAAAAUAUCGGAUCGGGUGUUUGCAAGGUAUGCCGACAUAAUAAUCAAAUAGUUCCACUAUUCUAAAAUGUGAUGUUUAGGACUGCAUAUCUGUAUGCGGCCCCCUAACCACACUACUUACCCUAUUAUAUGCAGCUACUAUAUGUGCUCGGAACACAUGGUUGAAAGAUGGUUUGCCUAACACUUUGAGGACACAUAUGCCAGAGGAUUGGUAUUAUAUAGCUGCAUAUGCAGCCUACUUAUCAUUGUGUGACCACAAUGUAGGCCCAUGGGAAUAAAGUAUGUUCACGCUAAUGGUUGGGUUGCAUGCAGGUUUCAAGCAGGACAGCUAAAUGUAUAUUAACACUGUAAAAAUAUUGCUACUGUCAUUACAUAUAACAUAUUUAUUUAUUUUAGAUAUUUAAAAUACUAACUGCAUAAGUGUUUGCAUAUGCAACCUGCAAAAAUGCAUAUGCACUAUGCAGGCCCUUGACCACCUGCAUACGACAGCCACCUUUUAAAACAUCGACUAAGACAGAUGCAAUGAUGUAUAAGUCGAAACAAUUUUAAGCAGCCCCCCCCCCCAACCAAAAAAAAAAACCGGAAAAAUAACACAGACACACACACACACACAGAGGAAUUCAGUUUUGAGCAAGUUCCUAGUAUACCUUUUGCUUCAACUUUAAGUGGAGUACUCUUUAUUGGUGAUUUCUCAACCUUCUCCAAAGUUUUCUUCUUUUGUUCUUCCUGCACAGGUGCUUUUGCAGGCUUUGAUUUUCGGAUCAUAUCAAACAAUCCAUCCUCAGUAAGAAAGGGGAUACUGCAAAAGCACAAAAAAGAAGCAAUUAGGGAAAACCUGAGAACAUCCAAUGUCUUGGAGAUACUAGAAAAUCAAAGUUAUGGAGCACACCCCAACUCUUUGGCUUUUGAAGAUUUCCUUCCACCAAUGUCUUCAUCAGCUAGAAGGAAACUCUGUAAGCAAACCAUGCCAGUUAUAAAUAGAACAUGCAAACAUAGGAUACAAAUAAUAGCAAGAUACUGGGAUAAUUACUGUUUUUUUGCUGAUAGAUCCAGUGACCCGACCACCAUGGCGCUUAAUUAGAUCUUCUGCUUCUUCCCUUUCCAAACUGCAAGUUACAAGUAAAUGGUUUGUGUACAAAAAAAAUAUGUGGAAAAAUCGUGAUUUUCAAGUAACAUUUCCACUUGUUGAUCCAAAUAUCAGGCAAACCCUUAUCAUUGCUAGCAAAUUACCUGUCAAGUGUGCCACUUAUAACAAAAGUCAGACCAGCUAAACAUUCAGGAGCACCCUCUGGUACUUCCUAAAAUAGCAAGACAGCAAUGAUAUUUCAGAGUAAAUAAACAGAUUGUGUUAGUUCCAUCAGAUUGUGUCAUGCUUUUCAUUAAAUCACCUUCUCUCCUUUGUGUGGUGGAUCCUUCCUCUCACCAAAAUUCAUGAACCCACCUCUCCCACCACCUCUGCCUCUCCCUCCUGCAGCAGCUCCUGCUCCUCUUCCACCCCUGCCUCUCCCACCAGCUUUAACCGGAGUCUCAACAUAUUUAUCAUCAAGCUCAUCUUCAUCAUAAUCAACAUCAUUCUUAUCAACGGAAUUCUUAGAAAUUCCUCCACUUGAUCUACUGUUCAAUUUCUUGGAGGGUUUGACCUCAGCUGCCUUUUUCCUGUCAUUGGAUGGCACAAAAUCAUCAUCUUCAUCCUUGUGAAACUUCUUUGCAGGCACUGGUUUAACAUCAUCUUGAAAAUCCUCGGUAAUUUUUUGGGCCUUCCUCUUUGCAGGUGAUUUUUCAGUGACCUUUUCAUCUUUUGUUGUUUUUUUAGAGCUUGAUUCUGUUGCAGUGGUAGUUGCAAAGUACUUGCUAGUUUUUCUUCUACCAGAAUUCUCUUGAGCUCCUUGCACCUGGGUAUCCCACAAGAAAGUCCAAAUGCAAUGCUUGCAUUAAGAUGUACUAACAAAACCUAGAUAUCCAGGUACAGCAUUACUGUAAGAAAGUGUAACUAUUAUUUCAGAAACAGAUUCAAGCAUGUUCUUUUGAUCAGAUAUUUCCACAUUAGAAUGGCAUUUAACACAUAUAUUCAUCUUGAUGAAUUAACCUUUAAAAAAAAAUCUUGAAAUCAGAAAAUAUGCAUUUCUUGAGUUCUUCACCGUCCUUUUGAAAAGAAAAAUAAACUUAGAUUGGAUACCAAAUUCCAACAGAUUCCCAAGUAAUAUAGAGGAAACUAUUGAAUCUGAACUGAAAGCUCAUUUCUAUAAUUGUCUUUUGUUGACAAGAGCUGAUCCUGGAAAUCACCCAUUCUUUGUCUCUAUUUGCCAAAAGCCCAGAACAAGGAUCAAGGACGAGAGCGUUACCGAUUUGUCUAAAACAGGUGCAGGCGGCUUCUCAGAAGCAGCCAUCGCAGGCUUUGCCGCAGGCUUGGAAGCAGUCCCGUUCCCCUUGUCAUGUUGCUUCAUAAACCAUUUCCUUAUAUCCGACGACUUCAUCAACCCAAAACCAAAAGCCCAAUUUUUCGAAAAAGAAAAGAAAAGAGCAAGCAAAUUUAGUGGUUAUUCCAGAUAGUGAAAAAAGAAACAAGAAACCCUAAAACCCAACUCACCAUGUUCCGGAAUCGUGUCCGCCCAGUAUUGAUCUAAUGCGAGUAUGCCGUCCAAAGCUCUGACCUAACUCAGAAGACGAGGCCAACCAUCAUCCAGAUCGAAUCUUUUGCACCGGAACUAGGGCGCGGUGUUGUCCUGCGACGAGUAAAGAACAUCAGACGCUAAAAAUCGCUGCGGAGGUGGGGGGCCCAAAAAGAAGAAAGGAAUCUAGGGUUCUUGACGGGAAAGGGAGAAACAUAUGGCCGGAACGCCGUCGGAAAGCAACAAAACACUCCAAAGAUCAAAUCUUUUCAACAGAUACAAUGAUAUUGUGGUUUUGAGAACGCAAUAACGAUCAAGAAACGUGAAAUCUAGCGCGGGGGGGGAAUUAAAACCGAAAGAACGAAUGAAUGAAUGAAAAGGAGUGGGGGGGGCGGGGAGGGGUAAGAAAUUAAAACAGAAAGAAAGAAAGAAAGAAUGAAAGGGAGAGAGCUGGCUAGGAUGGGAAAAAAGGAAGAGUAUGGACGGAAUGUAAUCAAAAGUAGGGCAUGACAUUUCGAUCGAGGGAUCAAUUAUUCCUACCGAAUCAGACUGCGAUCCGUUUCUUGUUCGUUUUCCUGGGAGGGAGAGAGGAUUGGGAUUGGGGGAUACUAGUGCGAGUAGGAGAGGGGGAGUGGAAGGGGGAGGAUGGGGUUACUGCUACCCUUCAUCAUCAAGCUCGGGGUACGAAUCUCGAGGCGCUGAUUUUGGUGUGUAGGGGACGGGGACGGACGGAUGCUGCUGCGGCACACGAGCGUGUCGUGUGUACCCCGGAGGCCGCCAAAGCUUGUUCGGGAAGGGGACGGGAUCGGAUCCGUGUCGGAUCUUUCCAGAUUUUAAACGCGGCUCACCUUAGACGAGUUUGGAAAUUGGAUCUGCAAAGAAAUUUAUUAUUAUUUAUACACGUGCGACAACAGAUAUUAUUAUACUGCUCAUGCGGUUGCUGCUUCUUCAUCUGUUUACCCAUGGGUGCAGCCAACAAACCAGGAGGAAAAAACAAAAAAAUAGAGGAUAAGACAUAGACAUCUUGUCUUUCCAAGUAAAAUCUUUAGAAUGAUGAGCUGCGAAGGAGGCCAUACAAUCAGCAGUACUAUUUGCCUCAAUAUGAUUUCAUUUUGCUUGAUUCCAAAACCAUAAUACAGAAGAAGAAAGAUAAACUUAGAGCCCUUACAAAACUUUAAAAAGAUUAAUAAAAUUUAAUAUAGAUAUUUUUUGGGACUUAUGAAUAUUUUUUACCAAUUGGAAAGACUCAUUCGAAUUUACACAAGAUUUUUAAUUCCUGCCAGACCUCGAAUAUUUUUGCAAGCUUUUUCCCAUCUAAAAAGAAGAAAGAAAAGAAAACUCCUGCUCCUACUUCCCAUCUAGUUAGAUCUCACAAGAUCGGAAUUUUAAAAACGUUGAGUUCCUACACAUACUCAUUGAACUAUUUUUUUUAUUUCUAUUUUCGUUUUUAUGAUGAGAUAUGUCAGACCCCUACUUCUCUUGUGAUGCCCAUUGCUCUUUACUUUGCAGAGAAGAAGAUUUGCAGUCUUUUUCUCCUUUGCCCUCCCACCAGCCGAGGUAGGUCUAGGGAUUUCCAUCUCUUUCUAUUCUUUGUCUCUUUUUUUCACUUUCUAAUUCUAUUUGCAAUAUAUACUGCGAUCUGUAUAUCAUCUACUCUUACAAAGCCCAUCGCCAUGCUCUUUAUUUUGUGCAGAAGAAGAUUUAUGGUCUCAUCCUCCCUCAUCCUCCUCCUAGCCGAGGUGCGCACGAGGGUUUUUCUCUCUCUCUUUUCUUUAUCUUCUUUUCUUCGCUUUUUCCUUCUAUAAUCUCUUUAUCAUGUUAUAUUAUUUAUGAACAUGUUAAAUAUUCAUAUUAAUAUAUAUUCUUAUAUUAACAUUUAUAUAUAAUAUUUAGUAUUAAUAUGAAUUUAAUAUUAUUUAUGAAAAAAAAAUAAAUUUUCAUAUUUAUUUAAGUUCUUAUAUUAACAUUUUGUAUUUAAAUANNNNNNNNNNAAUAUCAAUUUAAUAUUAUUUAUGAACAAAUUAAAUAUUCAUAUUAAUAUAAGUUCUUAUAUUAACAUUUAAUAUAGAAGUUAAAUAAAUAUUUUUAUUAUUUUAAAUACUUCUUUAAUAAAAAAAAUUUAAGAUAAAAUUAAUAUGUACUAAUUAUAUUUAAAAUUUAAUAUUAUUAUUUAAUAUUUAAUAGUAUUCCAAAUAUUUAAUUAUAAAUUAUAGUAAUAGUUUUUUUAAUAAAUAAAUAAAUAAAAUUUUUUGUUCAUAGAUAUAAACCUUAGUUUUAUAUUUGUAGUUGCCAUGCUAUAGAAUUUACGAUUAUUUCAUGUUUAAUUUUUAACGUUUUAGUAUGUGAGAUAAUAUAGUUGUCAUGCGGCAUAAGUUUAUUCACAUAUCAUAUCAUACUCGAAUUAUUAAAGGUAUGCUUUAAUUUUUUGAUGAUUUAUUCAACUCAUGUGUUAAAAUUUACCUCAUUUAAUAUUUAAAUAGAGAUCCAACUUUAAUAAACUAUUAGCUGCUCCAUAUUCAAUUCAAUGUCAAAAUAUCAUUAACAUCUAAUGUUAAUGUUAAAAUAACAUUUAAAGAUAGUGGUAUGUUGUUAGAUGAAUAUUAUUUGAUAUACAAUUUAACUAAUUUGUGGUCGCAUUGACCUUUGAAUGCCACAGUGAAAAAAUAAAAAAUCCUCAUCAACCAAUUAUAUAUGACAAAAUUUCCAAAGAUAUAGAGCAAAUGGUCCUAAACCAUGUAGGACCAUCAAGCUAUUUAUGUAGCAAAUAUCAUACAAAUUGAUGUUCAUGAAUUAUUAAUUAUUUCAAGCUAAUUAGACUUACAAAUAUGAGUUCUCAAGCUAUAAAUAAGAAACAAACUAUGUCACUUAUUACAUAACAAGACAAAAGAAUAAGGCUAAAUAUGUUGAUUAAUAAAAAAAUAAUGAUUCAACAAAUAGUAUUAAACAAUUACAAGGGAUAACACAUGUAUGGCAAUAUUAUGUCUUGAAAAUGAAAAGGAUUGGUAUCUAUAAUGAAACUAAUGACGCUGAUGGAGGUCAAAUUUUAUAAUAUCAUGUUCUAAAAAGUGUGGAUGAAAAGAGAAAAUUGUUAAUAGAAAUGAAGAAAAUAUUUGUAAAAGUAAUUUUAGUGGCAUCCGUUGUGAAGAAGGGGUAUUAAGAGUUGUAUCUGGUUAUUGAUGAUUCAUAUGAUGAGUAGAGGAGAUCAAAAGGAAAAGAAAAAGUAUGAUGGGUAGAAGUUAACAUUAGGGGUGGCAAAAUAUGACCCGACCGGCCAACCCGACCCGUGUUCGACCCGCCAUAAACAGGUUUGGGUUUGGCCUAAACAGGUUCGGGUCGUAAACAGGUCGACCCGUUUAACCUGUUUAUUAAUUGGGUCGGAUACGGGUUUUAGAUGUCUGACCCGUUUAAACCGUUUAACCCGUUUAACUGUUGGGCAGGUUAAACAGGUCUAAACAGGUUAAACAGGUUAAACGGGUUAAACGGGUUAAACAGGUUAGACAGGUCUAAACAGGUUAAACGGGUCUAAACAGGUCGGGUUGGGCAGGUUAAACAGGUCGGGUUGGACAGAUUAAACAGGUCUAAACAGGUUAAACGGGUCAGGUUGGGCAAACAGGUUAAACAGGUCGGGUCGGGUUGGGUAAACAGAUUACCUAUUUAUUUAACAGGUUAAACGGGUCGGGUCGGGUUACCUGUUUAAUAAACAGGUCAGGUUCAGGUUUGUAAUUCCUGACCCGUUUAAUAAACAGGUCGGAUUCAGAUUUAUAGUUUUCUGACCCGACCUGUAUUUGACCCGACCUGUUUAUGCCUGACCCGACCAGAUUGCCACCCCUAGUUAACAUGUCUCCUAUUAUCUAUCUUGAGGUUAAUUCGAAUAUAUCUGAUAUUAAUGAUGAUGAGUAUUGUAUUAAUAACAUAAAUAUUAAUUUUCAUGAAUGAGAUAAAGUAGGUAAAUGUAGCCUGUAUUCAUUUCCAAGAAUUAUGGGAGAAUUUGGUGGAUCAUCAAACUUAUAAUAGGAAGGAGAUAUUAAUCAAGGUAACAAAAUCAACUACAAUAUCUUACAUAAUAUAAUAGUCUUAUGUAAUCAAAAACUAAAUCUAAUUUUCUUUUGCUUUAUCAGAUAAUUCAGAUAUCUAUAUUGGAUUAAGAGUGCCUUGAAAUAAUGAUGACCGCUUUCAAAUAGUUAGAAAAUGAGUUUUUACCGAGAUAUGAGGUUUUGGAGAGCCAAAUUUUGUUUGUCGUUAUUGUAGUGCUUUAAUGUGAAUUGAAGAAAGGAGUAGCAAUAGUUCAAAGAGUGAUCUAAUGUUCUUUUUGUGCUGUCAAAUUGGAAAAGCAUUGCUACCAUAAAUCUAUGAGAAUGAUGAUUCAAUAUUUAGAUUCUUUGACAUAAUUUGUAACAUCGAUAGUACAUGUCGGUUAUAUGGAUUAAUAUUUUACUAAUAAUUUAUUAUUAAUGCUUGCUUAUAUUUAUAGGGAUUGUACUAUUGAAUUUUAGUGACUAUCAUUCACAUUGAUCUAGAUAGAGAUUUAUGGUACAACUCCUGCACAAUUUGCAAUACGAAGGUACGCAACAUUGCAGGCGCUCCGAGGUGCUACUUUUGUCAAAAGGAAAAUCCGAUCAACAUCAUUAAGAUAAAAAAUCUACUUUCUACUAAAUAUAAAAAAGUAUGUACUAAACAUUUUAUUUUUCGAUUAUAAAUAUUUGAUACAUAUUAAAAUACAUGAUCAUACUGGAGGAAUUCCUUUAACCAUUUUUGAUAGAAAUACGGAAGUUUUGAUGGGAAAAUCUAUAAACAAAUGCUACAAUCUAUACUUAGAGAUAUUUCAACCAUGAAAUUUUAUAAAUAGGUAAUGUUUGUGGUAACAAUUAUAUUAAAAUAAUAUUUCUGCCUAUAUUAUAUGUGGAUGGACCAAUAAAGCUAGAAGAAUUUGUUGAAAAAAUACUAUAUAAAUGCUACAUUUUUGUUUUAAUAACAAACAACAACAACUCAUCUACAAGGUCUAAUUGGGCUAUAUACAGCAUAUUUCAAACAGAUCCUAUUGAAGAAAGUCAUUCUCUUCUACAGCUUACUAUCCAAUAUAGUCAAUCUAACAAAACUAUUUUUCUACUUAUUUAUUUAAAUCCUUUACAUAUUACUAAUUUUUUUCUCUAUUUUUUCGUGCAUUAAAACAAUUGCUAGAUGAACCCUCUAAUCAAAAUGAAGACAACUGCAUAAGUUCAAAAGAGAAGGUAUCAGGAUCUUCUGCAUCAAAUCUAAAAGGAACGGAUGUCUCAUGUCUCAAUAUAAGCAUAUAUUUUUUCUAUCCUACUACAAAUGUUCAUGUAUUAUAUUUAACAAUUUCUCUUUCUAUUAUUAAUGAUCUUUUGAAUAUUGAGAUGUUGAUAGUAAAAUUGUCAAGAAUUAUUAAAUUUAUUUUAUUUCUAAUAUAUUUUUUAUUCUUUUAUUAUCAUUGAAUUAUAUUUCGAUUUUCAUUAUCUCCCCACGCAUCAUGCAUGUAUCAUCUUUGUAGAUCUCUAUUGAACUCUGUGGUUUCAACUCUAAUAGAUAUAUAUUCUAAAGGGAUGGGUGGGUGGCUUCCUGGUCUCGUUACCCCAUCGAUUUGGAUUAUACUGACCUAGCAUUUUCUUUUUUUGGGUAAAAUGGAUGAUUUAGAUUAACCUAGCCUUUUCAAUAUAUACUCUUCACACAUGAAAAAUAAAUGAAUAAUUUUUUUUGGCAACACAACCUCAUUGAAUCAUGGUAUACCUUGAAACAUUUAUUAUUGUUGCCGUUGCUUUUGAGACCAAUUAGCCUUCUAAGUAAACGCUUCAAAUGCUCAGGAUAUUUCCAUUAUUUUGGUCUUUCAGAACAUGGUAGGUGGACAUGUUUUCCAUGGUAAAGAAUAAUUACAGGAUAAAAUAUAGAAGAAAUACUCAACGACGAGAACAAAAGGAAAUUAUUUUCUGUCAAAGCUGUUGAUUUUUGGUGAACAAUUAAAAUUGUCAUAUGCAUUAAUAACUUCUGGAUUGCAUGGAAUCGGCAAAAAAAUUAAAAUGAUACUGAAUUAAAAAGGAUUUUCAUAACCCCAUUCCCCUUGUAUGACAACGGUAACCAUGUAUUGUAGCAGAUUAUGGGAAUAGCCAUAAAGUCCAUGAUAAAGAUAUCUUUAAAGAAAAUGAAUAAGAAGACCCAGAUACAAGCUGUUAAAUUGGAAUAUGGAUGCAUAAAAAAAAAAACCCUAUAAAUCAUAUCACUGAAACACCUACAUGUACAAGUGUAUAUACGUAUGCAUAUAUGAUGUAUCUAUAUGUGUAUGUAUGAAUGCAUCGUAGCAGUCACAUUCAUUACAUGGCAGCUAUUUUAAUGGCAUAAUCUUUAUAAAUGGCAGAAACACAACCUCCCCAAAGCAGGUUUCUGGUUGUAUCUUUUCUGCAAAAGAAUGAUUGAUCUCCCUUCGCAGCAUCAACUGCUGGAUCAUGCCUCGUACAGAUCUCAAAGCACUCCAAACUCGCUCUUUCAUCUGUUUGCACAGAUCUUAUGACAGCUGCAGGACAAUCCGACGGUGCACGUCACGAAAAAAAAGGAUGAAGCAGGUUCAGCCUGCAUAUACAGCAUUAAUUUGAAGUAGAAAAUGAUGGCCAGAUUGGCCAGACUACCAGUCACUUCAAGUGAGACUGCGAAAGGGGCAAGGCAGCUUGUACCAGGAAAGUUUCCAGCAAGAAGUGCUCUACCAGCUCCAAUCUGAUUUGAGCUAUAGUAAUCAGCAUAGACAGAAAAGCCUGGCUUCUAGGCAAUAUAAUCAACUCACUCACAUCCAAUCCAAAAUCAUUAUCAGCUUCCAUCAACACAUAGGAGGCUAAUAUACAUGACUCAAAACACAAAAAUAAUCAAAUAAUAUACAUUACACCGACUUAUGUCCAUCAAAACAAUAUCCGCUCAGGAAACAAUUAAAUGCAUAAACAUGAAAACAGCAUCAUACUUUCCAGGAAGCACAAACCUCACUAUUCACAAAUGUGCACAAACAAAUAUAUAGGACAGGAGGCUCAAUUCGUCAACCCUGAACUGAAACUUCAUUGGUAGCAAUUCCAGGAUUAGAAAAGUUAAGGAUAGCUUGAGCUUCCUCAGUUGUGUUCUGCGGAAUGGCUUUAGCUUCUCCAGUUGUUUCCUCUGGAAUAGCUUUAGCUUCUUCACUCAUGUUCUCCAGAAACACAGACUCAACUGCUACGCCUGCUUCUGGAUGAGGGACUUCCAUUGAUUUGUCAUCAUUCUCUUCGACCUUUGGUUUCUCAAUUUUGGGCUUUUGGUUUGAGACUUUUGGCUUUGUGCCAAGGGGCUUGGUCUCAGGCUUUGCAGCUGUUGAUUUCUGAGAUGGCAUCCUCGAAAGUGAUUUCUGAGUCGGUUUCUUCAAGGCUGUGGACGCUCCUUUAUUGUUUGCUGCACCUUCCUUUGACUUGCUUGUGUCAGAAGCAGGGUGUGGGCUGACACUUGAACCUUCAGAAGGGUUGUCUGUGGCAGCAACAGAUGGCUUGUUCCGUCCCAGCUUUGGCGAUCUAGGACGUGUCGGUGGGAUCUGUUAUGCGAUCAAACAAUUAGUAGCAGUAUAAAACAAUCAUGUUCUUGCAACAUACAUGCAGCUUUAUCUAAACAUGGAUGCGCACAAUGUCAAAAUAUAAGCACACGGCAACAAGCAAUACAUGUUCAUGUAAUCAUUAUGAACACAAAGCUUCUAAGAGCACCUACUACUUGUGCAAUAAUUAAUAAGAGAGAUGAGGAACAACCUAUAGCAUGAUUUUAAAGAAAAAAUUUGAAAUAUGCUAGAUGAAGGGUCGAGAAGUGCUAAGCAAUCAAGAAAAUUCUAGUUUUUUUUUUUCACGGGCUGAAAACUUGGUUGUAAGCCUCUUCAGGGUUAUUGGCGUACUCCAUUAGUAGUAAUAAAAGCUGCUAAACACAUCAGGGUUGCUGUGACAAUAUCAAAUUUCAAGUGCUGCAGCAAUCAACACCCUACACAUUAGCACAACAACUACUAAUAUCUUGUUUAUAUUUUUAUUCAAAACAACUUUUUUUUUUGCUUUGAUAUGGAAUACCACAGAUGCAAGAACUGCACAUGCCCUGACAGCAGGUUAUUGCUUUUGGUACCAGCAAAUGGCAACAAAAACCCAAAUCAUUGAAAAACAUGACGAAGUGUAAAUUCAGAGGAGAAACAAUGUUUGUGAUGAUUAUGAAUAUUUGGUUUCAAUUUUCACGCCAAUACUCAUGUUACAUGACUUUAUCAGCCAUGCCAUUUAUGGAUUUCAUUGACCAGCUAUCUGAAGAGAGAAUAAAUAUUCUACAAACCUCAUCCUACUAAAGUUGAAAGGUUCUCAAUUCAAUGAUUUCAAAUUAGAAGUUCAAUAUGGCUUUGGAGUUGUUAUAUGUAAGGACAUUAUCAAAAGCAUGCAGCACUCUCACGUACCAUCAUUUUCAAAAUACAACUAUAAACAGCAAAUCUUAACAACUAUAUGGAGUCUAUAUUAUGGAUCGAGAUAUAUGCUACCGGAAUUUGGAAAGCCUUUGUGAAGCAGCUCUCAACCUGACAUCAUCCAAUUAUGAAUUGGUGCCAAAUUUUUGGCCAAGGCUACCCUGGGUGAAACAACCUUAAGGGUGAUUAUGAUGCAUUUGUAUUUGUUAAGCAAGAUGCCUCUAGGACUUUCUUCAUUUGCAAUGGCGCUUCCAAACUAAUCGCAAUUAGGAUGUUACAUCUCACCCACAAUCAUCAUCAUCAUCAUUGCUUACAGAAAGAGGAUAGCAACAACAAGAAACAGCGGUUGGCUGUUGAAGGGGGUACUUAUAUGAAAGACGAUAGGAGAGUGAUCAUGAAAGUGUGGACAACAUGGACAUGAAGGUUAGGGAUGAUGGCUGAAGAGUAAUGAUAACGGUAGGAGCAUUUAAUGGCGAAAGACUUUCAGAAGCUAAUAUACAAGCUGAAGACAGAGGAAGGGAGUUGGGGGAGAGUGGCUGCACUACUCAUAAAAUUAAAUUGGGACAACAAGAGAACAAAAUUAGAUAUUUCAACAUGUCUAUUGAACCACGUAAUUGACCAACUGUAUUGCUGAUGGUACUACCUAGUGCUGAUACAAACGAUCAAACUGGCUGAUCAUUAUACGAAAAGACUUCUGGGCAUCAAGUCUUGCAAAUCAUAGGGAGGAAAAAUCGCGUUACACAUCAAACACUGCAAUCAGAGCGGACAGCGGAACAAACCUUGGAAACUUUAGAGAACAAUAGAACAUAUUUUCCGACACCAAGUUCAACAGGUUUUCUGAUCAAAAUAAGUCUAAAAUGCGUAGUGCUGAAUGCGUUAAUAUGGAGUUGAAGGGGCUAGGUGAAAUAUAAAGGGCAAGGUGUAACCCAAAAUAUAUAAAAUGAUACUCAUGUGAGAUUACUAUUUGCCUGUAUGUUUUGUCCAAGUAACUGCGUCCCCUUGAUAACAUGUCCAAACUUAAAAAAACUUAAAAUUUCAAUGGUGGCCAAAUAUAAAGUACCCCUCCAACUGUUAAAUUUAGGAAGUUAAUGAAUGCUCAUGUUGACCAACUCCAAACACUAAAUUUGGUCAAAUGAUUCACUUCAGAGUGUAUAUGUUACACCAUAUUAAACCAAGAUAUACAAGGCCUAAAUUGGAGAUGAAGAAGCUUAAGCAUAUGCAUUAUGCCACAUGUUUUUGGACGCCAACAUGUUUGCAGCCAUAGAAUGCAUAUCUUUCAAUUAAUAUUUAUAUAAACAUUAAUCAAAUAUCAGUUCAACUUCUGCCAAAAAGUCCUAUCUACUGUUUCAUUUAACUCUAAAAAUUUUGACAUCAUGACUUGAACUUCUCAAAGACACUCACUAGUUAUAACAUAUGAAUGAGAGUUGUCAGUCUGCAUUAGGAUAUCUAUCCAGAAUUAAGUUUCCUAAUUUGUUUAUUCACUUGGUACAGACUCAGGUUUGUAAUUCAAAAUUCACUGCCAACUAAUGAGCCCAAUAUGAUAGAUGUAGGAUUAGACAAUAAAUUUUGUAAAAGUAAAACAAAUGUAUUCUAAUUUUGAUUAGGAUUUUUGGCUGUUGGAAUCCAACAUCAUUACAAAAUUUGAGUGAGAAAAAACUAAACCCUUUGAUCAGUAAAAAGUGAUAAAUAAUACAUGUGAAAAAUUGAGGUUUAUACAGCCGUUGAGAUUUAUAUAGGACUAACAUGUUUUGUUUCCAAAUUACUUACCAUCUGAGAGCUUUUACAAAGGAUAUUCUCCCACUUUCACACAUUAUCCCUCGUCGGGCCUCCUACUUAUCUCCCACCCACAGAAAAUCUCCUACUAUUUUAGAAUCCCGUUCUCGGCAGCUUUUAAACAAUUUAGUUCCAUAAUGUAAGCAUCACAAACUCUCCAUAACAAAGCACACCUCAAACUUUAUCCAUUGAAAGAAAGUUAAAUGUUUUCUUUAUUUUUCCAUCUUUCGUAUUAGAUCAAAUUGUAUUGCAAAUCCAUUUGAAACAUCUUCUUGCAAAACAAUUAUGCAACUAGCAAUUUAGGUAACCCUGGUUAAGAAACUCACCAAAUCAUUUACUAAUGCUAUAUUUUUUACUUCAAUAUGUUUUGAAGCCCUAGAAUGCAUACCUUUUAGAUCAACAUUCAAGUUUAUUUUUAGUGAGAAAUCAAUCUGACUCCCAACUAAGAGCCCUAUCCUUUAUUCUGUUUAAAACUACAAAAUUUCUUCAUGGUUCAAGAGUACUAAGUCAUCGGUUUGAAUUUAAGCACUAGAACUAGCACAUCAAUCAGCACUACCAGUUGCCCCAGAAUAUCACACUAUCAAAAAAACCCAUGAAAUCAUGUGUGAUUGCUAUGCGAUGCCCAUAUAUCACUUAUUUUUGCAAUGCAUAUUUCUCUUGACAACAAAAAGCAGAAAUCAAAUGUUAUGCAGAGUUGAAAACAUAUCUGAUGCAACAGAGAUGGACUGCUUGACUUGUUUUGUCAAUCUUAAAGAAGAUGAAAAGGUAUCCACCUAACUCUUAAUCUUAAACAAGAAUAGAAGGUAUCUCCAAAUUAUGCUUGGCUACACAAAUAUGAGAAAGCCCAAGAUUUAUUUCAAAGUGAUUAAUAUAAAAAGAAAUGCAACAAUAUAGUACAGUUAGUGUUGUUUUUAAGCAUCAGUUAUACUACAUUUGGUGUUCCCACAUAUCAAAUUUAAGUUGUAGAUGGUGAAAAUGCACCUACUCAUGCAUGCACAAUGGAAAGAUAAAAGGGAAAAGAAGAAUGACUAUGGAACUACCUUCUUUAAUUCAGCUUUUGGAGGACCAGGUUCUUGAUAAAAGCUUGGCAUUGGUGUGGCUUUAAAAGUCAAGCUCUUCCUCAGCUGUCUGAUCUCAGCCUCCUGGCUUUCCUGUAUUAUAGUAUUUCUAGAGAACUUAGUUAAUAGGUAUAUACGGAAAAGCUUUCAAGAACAAACAAGAAAUACUUCAAUGUUUAUAUGAGCACAUUACCUUAGAUUUUGCUUGCAAGUUAGUCUUUUCCAAUUCCUUCUGAUGGAUCUUCUCCUCUAAUUUCAAGAAAAACUGAGAAACCAAUAUCUAUCACUUCUCUGGCUGCUAAGAGAAAACAUACCACAAAGAAGCACGAAUUCAAUCUAUUGACUGACCUCCUUGCGUUUCUCGGCACGCUCGUCCAACCUGAAGUUAAAAACAGAACCAGUGCUCUUUCGUUGGGCUGUUGCACGAGGAGUGGUGGUACUUCUGGAUAAGAAAUAUCGGAAGCCUAAAGACCAAUUUCUAGAACAUAUAUAGAGAAAGUCCGAAUUGAGAAAUGAAUGGACAAGCAAGCAUGAAACGUUACGAGGUAGUGGAGUGGGCAUCAUCAUCAUUUUUUGCUGGUAAGGAGCGUCUCGAGGGCCUUGUAUUUCCAUCAUGUGAUCUGUCAAACCAAUUUGGUCAAGUGGGAUAGUCAUUCAAUUAUAGAAGGGAACUGGGAUGGCAAACUAUAAAGAUCGAAAUGCAUGAUGGAUGUCCUGCACUGGUGGUAUUAUGCUUUUACUAUUUGAUAUCUGUGUGCAUAUGUCAGGCUUUGGACUUUGACCGACAUCAUACCUGUUAAAUAUUUACUAUUACCAUGUUUCUCAUGCAAAUCUAAUUUAUCUGCUGAACACCGCGGCCCCAUACAAAAAGUUACCGAACAUUUAAUGAUCUCUACAAACUUCAUUACUUUUAUAGCGCAUUAGGAGAGAAACAACUGAAGGAAAACCACUAGUAAAGCCUGCUUCAUAGAGAAGAACUUACUUCACAGCUUCAGAAGAAGUACCAUUGAUGGUUGCGUCCACCAAGCCAGAUUUCACUUUCUGGUUUCAAGGAUGGAUUGGAAAGGGUCAGUAAAACAGGAGGAUGCCAUGAGCCAAAUGCAACAUUUAUUCAGAUUCUGAAGUCUUUCUUUAACAAAGAGCAGUUUGUCAGCCUGCAUUCAGAGACUCACCAAUGACUGCUGAGUACUGCAUUCAGCAGCGAAGUUAGAUUGCUUCGAAGGAAGCUCACCUGCAUUUCAGCCCACAAAAUUAAGCAUAGAAGAAUGUGUACUGCCAGAGUGUAUCAAAUGAAAGAAAGAUGAAAGCAAACAAUUGGUAAUUAAGGGUCGAACUUUGGAGCCAUUUGAGCCCAAACCUUUUACAUCUGCUUUCCCCUGCUUCACAGGAGUGGUGCUCUUCCUCAGACUGCUGGCAAGAGUACCUCCGGCAGGGAAUGAAAGGCUCUGUGAAAGGCUAGGUUUUUUGUUUCGUGAUUCUACAGGGGCACCAUUCUGACCACCUCGAUCCUUCUGUGUUUUAACACUCUUCAAUCGAUUGCCUCCAUCAGAUCCAGUUCUCUACAAAAUAAUUCAUCUUUCGUCACCUGAUUUACAUUUCCCACUGAGUUGGAAACAAGAUGGGCAAGAAGAAAGAAACAGCAGUCUUAUACCUUUGAAAGAUUCGAGGCUUUGUUUGCCACAAUAGCCUCAGAGCCUUCAUUCCCUCGUCCGGAUGACUUAGGACCAUCUUCUUUAGAUGGAUCUCCGACCAGGACACCGCUAGCUUGUACAGCAUCAGCACCAUUUUCAAUAACUUCAUUCUUCUCGUUUACGUUUACAUUUGAACUGAAUUCGUUGGCCUCUGGAGCUUUUGCCAAAGCCCCAUUCUCGAGCUUCAGUUCAACUCCAUUGCCAGCCUCCAUCGCACUACGGUGGAAAUCUAGAACCAACCAGCUACCGAACUCUGCAACCGUUCACUUUAAAAAUCACAUCCUUGGCACAAGCAUAAGCCUUAAUAACUACGUGAUAGCUGGAAACAUGUUACAAAUCUAACAAGAAACCAAGAUUCUACUUCUAAUAUUCUCCUUCUGUUUCUACUAGACCGGUUCCCAACUUCCGUUACUGAAUGCGCCUCCAAUAUGCUUUCAAAUCGAAAUCGCACUCGAGAUGAUCCGGCAUCUGAAGCUAAUUCUAGUGAAGCGGACCAGCAUAACGUUAAAAAAAGGUCAGCAUUUUCGAAAGAUCUACAUCGAUUUCUCCAUGAAAAAAGAUAGAUCCCGACUAAAAAACACUCGCGGUUGAUUAAAAACGCCGCCUCUCUCGAAUCGGCAUGGAGAACUCCAAAAAAAAUCGAGAAACACAGGAGGCGGAAGCAGAUCAAGAAGAGUAGGAAGAGAUCCCGCCAUACCUACGGAGCUCAACCACUGAAUUCAGCUUCAGGAAGAGAAAACCCUCGAGCGAUUAGCGAAACAAGCGAGAGCCGCCAUGAUCUGAACUGACCCGGAGAGAUCGAAGCGCCGGAAGUCGGAUCCAGUAAAUCCGAGAUGAUCCUCUUCUCGGCCCCCUCCCUCCGCGUUGAGAUCGAGCAACGGCGAUCUCGGAGACCCCGAUUCGGCCGCCGGCGAUCUGCGAUUCGCUUCGCCCCUCUCCACCCCUCUCCCAAGACGACAAAAAGGUCGGGCGAGAUUUUUUUAUUUCAAACAAGAGAUAAACGAUGCCCCUCCCGUCGCGACGCCGGGGUAUAUACGUAGGGUGGGGGGGAGCGAAGCCUAAAAAUAACGGCCGUUGUAACAGUGCAACGGCUGUCGACCUGUGGUGGCUGUAAGAACUGCCGCCGUGAGAACAGCCUGUUCCGCUAAAUAAUCAUACCGCCUUUCUAAAUAGCCAUAAUUUAUUGGUUGUUGCCACGUCACUUCACCCAAGAAGACACGAUUUGCCAGCUGCGUGCGGAUGCCGAUCGCAUGGGUACGGGAUUUGGAUCCGAUGGAUGAGUCGAGAUGGGAGACGCAAGGAAACCCGUCGCUGGUUGGAAACCCUGGUACCAUGAGCAUAGGGAAUUAUUGCAACUUGAUAUUUUCGCUACCCAUCUUCAGAAAUGUCAUGUUUAAAUUAAAUCUUCAAUAUGGCUGGAAUGUUUUUGUUAGGGUUCGGAACCUUCACAACUUCUAAAUGGUACCAUUAUGGAUAGCCAUCUUAAAAAUAGAUAAUAUUUAUUUAUUUCUAAAAUAUGACAAAAUAUUGUUAGCACAAUAUAGGGUGCAUACGAUGAUUAAAAAAAAUAGCCUAUGUUUAAGAUGGAUGAUGUGGAGAUGGAAGGGAAUCCUUUAAUUUUUUGUAAGCUCUAUUUCAUAUUUAUGUUUUUAUUUUUAGGAUAAGGCUUAAACAAUGACUGCACUACUUUUUAUCCAAAUAAUAAUAUCCAUAUGAGAUUAUCUAUUUUUAUUGUACUGAAAAUAAAAGCUAUAAUUAAGACAUAGCUAUUUAUUUACAAGUAUUUACACAUGACAAAAAAAAUAUAGCAUUUUUUAUUGGCGAUCAAAAAUAGCAAAUGCCGUUUGAAAUCAUCCAUGCUAAUUGUUUAUUGAAUAUGAUGAUUUGGAUUCAUUUGUAAGCACUGAUCUAUAACUAAGAAAUAGUAAAAAAAUAACAUCAUUUCCAUGCUGAAGGCAUUCAUCAGGCAUAUAUUACGGAUGAAGGAGAGCUCGAUGUCAAAAUUUUUGCUUUUCCAUCCGAUCAAAACAAGCCAUGUGGAUUAAGUUUGAUUUUGAUUCAACCAAAGUAUAUAAAAAUUAUGUAACUCUUGCUAAGCUUGAAAAAAGUUCCAUCGUGAAAAUCAUACUAAGGAUAAAGACUCAGGCCAAGCAAAUAGAAUUUAGCCAUAAUAUAAAUGAGCGGAUAGAAAAAUCAAGUCUUGGCCAUAAAAGAAGGUCGAUAGAAGACCAAGAUGAUCCCAAAUUUCAAAAAAUAGAGGAUUAUAUUGUAGCUCGAAGGAGGGAAGAAGCUAACACAAGCUACGUCAGGAUAAGUUAAAAGUCGAUAACAUUUAACUAUCAGGCUAGUAAUUAAAUAAUGAACCUGCUUGUGCACGUGUGCAGUAGAAAGAUAAUUGGCAGCAAUUAGCAGAAUUACCAAGAGAGAAGAUUAGAUGUGUGAAGUAAUUAUCAGAGCGGACAAUUAUUGUGCUUAAGGAAAAGUUAUUAUGUAUUAGUAUAAAUAAUCAUACUUUAUAAAUGGAUCCUUCUCGAUAAUCAAUCCAAUAUAUCUUUAUCUUUUAUCUUACCUUUAAUAUACAGUUUAUCCUAUAAAUUGGCGUAAAUUAGUUUUCUACCAUAGCUCAAUGUUACACCCUUAUUGUAGCCCAGGACUACACUCCUACUAUCGCCCAACGCUAUAACUCUUUUUAUUUCUAUCUCCUUUGAAUAGUAGUGUGAUGGUGAUGAAAGUCUUUGAAGGUUAAGGCACAUGAACCCAUGGUACUCUCUAUCCUCCCUAUAACCCAUAUCUUUUCAGCUAGUCCAAUAUCGGUGGCAUGCCCACGCAUGCAUCCAAACCUCGCCUUGGCAAGUUUGGUAGGUCACCUUCUGCCUCGACCAACUAAGCUUUUCAGAGAUCCUGAGUUCUAUGGCUUGCUCGAAACAGGAUGGAAAGUGAGGCAACAAGAUUUCUAGCAUAUCCGGUGGGAAAAAAAGGGCGUCGACAUAUUUUUUGACACACCCGAUGGGAAACUUUGUGGCCAUUAUCAUACUAUAUCUAGUGGAAUGCUGCAUAGUCAUUAUCAUGCUAUUUCUAUUAAGACAACUGUAUAUAUGCCAUCAUGCCACUAUCGGAGGAAGCAACAUUUUUAGCGCUGAUGGAAUGACGGUUUAAAGAGUUAUUUCUAUAUUUGAAAGUCGAUAUGUAAGGCCAUAAUAUAGUAUAGUGAGUCCUAAGUGAAGACAUUCAUUACCAUCCUUGCAAUGGAUGAAUGCAAAUAUCAUCUAGCAUGUGAAUGUACCGCAGUGCACGAGGAAUUGGAGUUAGAGACUUCAGCUCAUCAGGAGGUAAUAGCUGAAGACUAUAGCAUGAAGACCUUGGAAUUUGCUAAGAGUUAUCAUGAAAGUUAUGCCAGCGAAGUUGCGAUAGACCAAACCAUCGAGGGAUAUUUUCAUCAAUACUUAGCUGAAACUUGAGAUUAUUGGUCAUGACAAGGUAGAGAGCAUGCCAACAAUAGUUCUUGUUCGUUUGCCCAUGAGUGAAGGGUAAACAUAGAGUGGCCUCAUAAUAUUAGUCAUGAGCAUCACAAAGAUUGGGGGCAAGCUUAUCAAAUGAAGCUUCCAAAAGUUUUCUAUAUGAUGUGUGUACCAUAUUGAUAGAGGAAAAAAUGGGUCAUCCAGCCCACAACUAAAAGGCCGCCUAGUUUUGGCCCAUUUAACACCAACAAUAAUCAGAUGAAUCUUUACAUUGGCCCCAGGGCCAGCUCGUCCUCGGAACUUCGCCGGAAGCUGCACCAACUCCGGACGUUCGCCGACCAAGUUUGGGGUGCCUCCAGACAAACGCCGACCCAUCCCGACCAAGUUCGGAACGCUAAACCCCCAGCAAUAUACUCCGAUCCUCGAGCUCGGGGCACACCUCCGAGCACACCUCAAAACCCACGAAACCGAGCUGCUUCCAGUAUUCGCCAGGCCGACCUCGUCAAACACA